Molecule: long non-coding RNA, 51126 nt
Filed under: Vitis vinifera (wine grape)
Lineage: Eukaryota; Viridiplantae; Streptophyta; Magnoliopsida; Vitales; Vitaceae
Description: long non-coding RNA (VVIN_LNC001476)
Source: RNAcentral
AGAGAGUGAGUUUGUUAGAAAUUUGAUCGGUAUCAGCAGCAGCCAUGUCUUUGCUUGUUGAGAAGACCAGUUCUGGCCGGGAGUACAAGGUCAAGGACAUGUCUCAGGCGGACUUCGGCCGUCUGGAGAUCGAGCUUGCGGAGGUUGAGAUGCCAGGCCUCAUGUCUUGCAGGACUGAGUUCGGACCCCAGCAGCCAUUCAAGGGUGCCAAGAUCACUGGCUCACUCCACAUGACCAUCCAGACUGCCGUCCUUAUCGAGACCCUCACCGCCCUUGGCGCCGAGGUCCGCUGGUGCUCCUGCAAUAUCUUCUCCACCCAGGACCACGCCGCCGCUGCCAUUGCCCGCGACAGCGCCGCCGUCUUCGCCUGGAAGGGCGAGACCCUACAGGAGUACUGGUGGUGCACGGAGCGGGCCCUCGACUGGGGUCCCGGUGGCGGCCCCGAUCUCAUCGUGGACGACGGCGGCGACGCUACCUUGUUGAUCCACGAGGGGGUCAAGGCUGAGGAGGAGUACGCCAAGAGCGGCAAGUUACCGGACCCCUCCUCCACCGACAAUGCUGAGUUUCAGAUCGUUUUGACCAUUAUUAGGGACGGAUUGAAGACAGAUCCGAAGAGAUAUCACAAGAUGAAGGGGAGAUUGGUUGGUGUUUCUGAGGAGACCACCACCGGUGUUAAGAGGCUUUACCAGAUGCAAGCUAACGGCACUUUGCUUUUCCCUGCUAUUAAUGUCAAUGACUCUGUCACCAAGAGCAAGGUAUUCUCCAGAUCUGUGAUAUUUGGGAAUUGUUUUCAACGAUUCAACCAAUUUGUUUGGUGGAUCUAGUUUGGAUUACUAGAAGAGUCGUAAUUUUGUGUUUUGUUUUGUUUUGUUUUUCUUAACAAUUUUCUGUUCUGGAUGCAAACAGUUCGACAAUUUGUAUGGAUGCCGCCAUUCACUCCCUGAUGGGCUGAUGAGAGCUACGGACGUGAUGAUUGCCGGAAAGGUUGCAGUUGUAUGCGGAUACGGAGAUGUGGGCAAGGGCUGCGCUGCUGCCCUGAAGCAAGCUGGAGCCCGGGUGAUCGUGACGGAGAUAGAUCCGAUCUGUGCUCUGCAGGCCCUGAUGGAGGGUAUCCCGGUUCAAACCAUUGAGGAUGUCGUCUCUGAAGCAGACAUCUUCGUGACCACCACCGGUAACAAGGACAUCAUCAUGGUUGACCACAUGAGGAAGAUGAAGAACAAUGCAAUUGUUUGCAACAUUGGCCACUUCGACAACGAGAUUGACAUGUUAGGGCUGGAGACAUACCCGGGUGUGAAGAGAAUCACCAUCAAGCCCCAAACUGAUAGGUGGGUGUUCCCUGAUACCAAUUCGGGCAUCAUAGUGUUGGCAGAGGGGCGACUCAUGAACUUGGGUUGCGCCACUGGCCACCCCAGCUUUGUGAUGUCAUGCUCGUUCACCAACCAGGUGAUUGCACAGCUGGAGCUGUGGAAGGAGAAGGCCAGUGGCAAGUAUGAGAAGAAGGUGUAUGUGUUGCCAAAGCAUCUCGACGAGAAGGUUGCUGCGCUUCACCUUGGGAAGCUUGGGGCCAAGCUCACCAAGCUUAGCAAGGACCAGGCUGACUACAUCAGUGUGCCCAUUGAGGGUCCUUACAAGCCUCCUCACUACAGGUACUGAGAGAGAAGACCCACAGAUAUGUGGAUGGGCUUGAUUUGCCUUCUUUUACAAUCUGAUUUAUGUUAGAAUUAUAGGUUUGAUUUUUGCAUUUUUUUUUUCCUGUCAUGGGGGUUGUUUGGGGUUUGGGAAGAAAAAGAAGAGAGAGAAAAAACCGAGAUCGGUGUCUUCCGUUGAAGAAGAUGAGCAGAUGUGGGGAUUCAAUAAGGAUUGUGAUUGAGGGCUGUGUGUGAGAGAGUAUUCUGGUUAAAAACCAAAAAAGAGAGAAAAAAAUAUUUUAUAUGUCAGUUGUUUUCACUUAUGCUUUUCGUUUAUUUCAAGAUGAAAUAAGUCAAUUACACAAAUUACACAAAAUUAUGAUCUGGUUUAUUUUUCCAACGAUUGCCUAAGAGGAUUCACUUUUAUUCUCAUAAUCUUUUUGGGUGAGUUUAGCAUUUUUGUGAAGAAUUUUAGCCUUGGAAAGCCUUGGCCUACAUAGUGGGUGUGAACAGGCAGGUCAUCCUAUCAUAAAACCCCUCACAUCUCUUCUCCCAUAACACUCAAAAAGUGAAGCAUCUCAUGCCGACACCGAGUCACCGACAGCCACUAUCUUGAUAACCAUGGGCCAAACUUCUCCCCAUUUCCGGCGACCAUAUCCACCAUAAAUGAACCCUUUUGGGUAAUUGGUAAAAAAGUAUUGUUAGAAUAGACAACUCACCAAACCUACUAUCAUAAAUAAAGCAUGUAACUCACAUUUUGUUUGCCCCAAUUGUUUUAUUUAAUUUAUGUAGUGUUUGGUUGUUUUAAAUUAUAUAUAUUUUUUUGGUUUGAAUGGGCAAUUCACCGAACGUAUCAUAAGCAUCCAUUGAUAGAACGCAUUUUUUUUGCCCCCAAUUAUUUUAUUUAAUUUAUGUAGUCUCUGGCUGUUUUCAAUUAUAUUUUAAUGGUUUGAUUUUUAAAUAGAUAAUAUAAAAAAAAACUCCAUUUUAUUUUAUAUAUAUAUAUUAAAUAGGUAAUUAUUAAGGAAAAUCAAUUUAUUAAUUAAAUCUUAAAGAUUUGAAAAUUAAGAAUACAAAAUUUAGGCUUGGUAACAGUUUUAAAAAACAAUUUUGAAAACUAAUUUUUUAUAAUAGUUUUUGAAAACUAUUUUUUGAUAUUUUGUAAAAUAAAAUUUUGUUUGAGAACCUAAAAUGUUUUUAAUAUUUAAAAAUAUUUUUUAUAUCUAUUAUUUUAUUUUUAAUCAUUUUAUAUUCUUGUAUAAUUAUUUUAUAAAACAAUAUUUAGAAAACAAGUGCAAAUAACAUAAAACAAUUAUGAAAACGUUAUAUUUUUUGUUUUUAAAAAAAAUAGAAAAUAAUAUUUAAUUAUUAAAAAUAAUGUAUUUUUUUGUUUUUCUGUUCUAAAAAAUAGAAAAAACUAUUAUCGAAGUCAAAUAACCCCUUAAAAUUCUAGCACUUACUCACAUUAUAUAAGGUUGAUCCCUACAUUGUGUGGGUAAGAGCUUUGACUCUGUUACACUUUUUGAGCAUGUAUAAAGUUUUACACGUUUGAAAUUGGCUUGAUUUGGUACAUUUAGGCUCAUUUAAUUGAUUUUGAUUCUUCAUUGUAUUUUUACCAUUUAAGAGAUACAUACAUUGUCGGUUUGUAAAGCGGAAAUCUGGGAUUUGAUUGGAAAUGUAAUUUUUGAAAUGGGUUACUUAAUAAGGACAAAGCCUAAAUUUGAUGGAUGAUCGACCAAUAUUUUAUUGGGCAAUGGGUUUCCUGGGUGUGGAGAUAUACGUCUUGAUGGUUUCAAAGACAUAGAUUAUAAUAUAGGCCAAGACCCUUACUAUAAUCGGCCUACCUACAACCUUGUUAUGAAUAAGCUACCUUGAUCCAUACCAUACCUACCUUGACACAGGUCCAGGAAAGUUACAUUGACAUCUAUUUUAUUGGUCAAGCAAGUGAUUAGCACAGGAAAUUACUUUUUUUCAGCAAAUUCUGGAGAAUUUUCAUCAGCCCUUGUCCCAUAAUUGGUCAUUUCGUGUUUCCCUUUUGUUUUGAAGUGGUUUUGGCUUGGCAAGUUUAUUUUUGUUAUCUAGUGCAAAUCAUCAGGCUGAAGUGGAUUUCGACCCACAUUGCAAUUGCUAGUUUCUUUAAAGAAGCAUGCAAAUCCAUGAAGUUACGAAGAUCUGUCUGGGGUGGAUUCUGGAGGCAAAUUUGGCAGCUCACCACCAUUGGAUGUCUUGAUUCUCUCAUCUUCUGACACCUUUGGCUCAGGACCCAGGGUUUAAAUACCCAUUUGAAGCUCUCUUCCCUCUCUUGUAAUCUUGGAGGAUAUGUUUGGGUUUCAAAAUGGUACGAAGCGAGGAAAAAAAAAAUGUUAAAAAGGAAAAUAGUUUUACCUCAUUUAGUUUUCCUGUAUAAAAAAAAUCAAAUAUAAUUUGGAAAUUUAUAUAUUUUUAAUUAUUUAAUUAAAAAACAUAUAAAAAUAAUUUAUUAAUGUUGUAAAAUUAUAAAAUGAAAGAAGAAGAAAACAAGAAAGAAAAAUUAGAAUGUAGGAAGAGAAUAGAAUGCAUGGGAAAACUCUCUUGAAUUUCAUUAGGGGUCUCUCCCUUUUAUAGAGAGUUACAAAAGAUAUUUAUGGAUGAUUAUUCACAAGUUACCAUAGUGAUACAGAAUCUCAUAUUUUAUAAUACUCCCCCUUGGAUGAUCAUAAGAAUAUGCCUCGUUAAAACUUUACUAGGAAAAACCCUAUGGGAAAAAACCCUAGUGAAGGAAAAAGAGUACAAUAUUUUUUUGGAUUACUGCAAUUGCAUCGUUAAAAACUUUGCCAAUAAAACCCAUUGGGACAAAACUUGGACAAAGGAAAAAAGAGUGCAGUAUAUCCAUAUUAUCAUUCUCCUCCUCAUGUAAACAUGAUUAUGAUUUUUUCAACAUUUCAAAUGGUAGAUCUCUCAAUCUUCGUAUUCCAAAGUCAUACCUUAACUUUUUCAAUGUGGUUAAAGGUAACUCAUUUGUAAAUAGAUAUGCUAGAUUAUUGCAUGACCGAAUCUAUUGAACAUCGAUCUCACCUUUCUUUUGGAGCUCAUGAGUAUAGAGGAAUUUAGGGAAGAUAUGCUUAGUUCUAUCACCUUUUAUGAAUCCUCCUUUAAUUUGUGCAAUACAAGCAUGUAACACGGUUGCAUUGCCUCUAAUAGAAGGUAGUCCACAUGUUUCUUGUAUAUGUUGGAUCAUUGACUUUAGUCAUACACAUUCACGACUUGCUUCAUGAAUUUCAAGAAUUUCUGAAUGAUUUGAUGAUGUGACCACCAUUGUUUGUUUGAUAGAUCUCCAUGAGAUAGUAGUACCAUUGUAAUUAAACACAUACCAUGUUUGUGACUUACCUUUAUAUGGAUCUGAAAGAUAUUAUGCAUCUGCAUAUCCAAGCAAUUGUUGCUUUGAUUCUCUUGAGUAAAAUGGACCUAUACCAGUAGUUCCACAAAGAUAACGAAAUAUAUGUUUGAUACCAUUCCAAUGUCUUCGAGUUGGAACAGAACUAUAUCUUGCUAAUAAAUUGAUAGAAAAGCAAUGUUUAGACGUAUACAAUUGGCAAGAUAUAUAAGUGCACUAAUAGCACUAAGAUAUGGUACUUCAGGACCAAGUAAUUCUUCAUCAUUUUUUGUAAGGACGAAAUGGGUCAUUUUUCACAUCAAGUGAUUGGACAACCAUUGGAGAACUUAAAUGAUGUGCUUUAUCUAUAUAAAAACGCUUCAAAAUUUUCUUAAUGUAUGUUGAUUGAUGCACUAAAACUCCAUUUGGAAAAUGUUUGAUCUGCAAACCGAGACAGAAUUUUGUUUUUCCAAGAUCUUUCAUCUCAAAUUCAUUUUUCAAGUAAUUUCUUGUUCUUGUGAGCUCUUCAGGAGUUCCAACAAGAUUUAAGUCAUCAACAUACACUGAAAUAAUUGCAAAUCCGGCUUUUGAUUUCUUAAUGAAGAUGCAUGGGCAUAUAAGAUUAUUCAUAUACCCUUCUUUUAGCAAGUAUUCACUAAGGUGAUUGUACCACAUGCAUCCGGAGUGCUUUAAUCCAUACAAGGAUCAUUGUAACUUGAUUGAGUACAUGUUACGAGGCUUUGUACAAUUUGCUUUAGGCAAUUUAAAUCCUUUAGGGAUUUUCAUGUAUAUAUCAUUAUCCAUGGAUCCAUAUAAAUAUGUUGUAAUAACAUUCAUGAGACGCAUAUCUAGUCCUUUUAGGAUUGCCAAGCUAAUUAAGAAAUGAUAUGUGAUUGCGUCCAUGACGGGAGAGAAUGUUUCCUCAUAGUCAAUACCAGGUUUCUGCGAGAAACCUUGUGCUACUAAUCGCAUUUUAUAUCUUACGAUCUCAUUAUUCUCAUUGCGUUUUCGUACAAAUACCCAUUUAUACCCAACAGGCUUUACAUCUUCAGGUGUUUGGACUACAGGUCUAAAAACUUCUCAUUUUGUUAAUGAGUUUAACUUUGCCUAUAUAACUUCUUUCCAUUUUGGCAAAUCAUUUCUAUGUCGGCAUUUUUCCACAUUUCGUGGUUCAAGAUCUUCAUCAUUUCUUAUGGAGGCCACUUGGAAAGUGAAAAUAAUAUUAUUUUGAUCCCAUUUUUCUCCCAUGUAUACAUAACUUACUGAGAUCUCAUAAUUUUCAGGUACCUGUGCCUCUUCAAGGGCUUCUUAUUCAAUAUGUGCCUCUUCAAGGGCUUCUUGUUCAAUAUAUGUGCCUUUUCAAGGGCUUCUUGUAUUAUUUGUGCCUUUUUUAGGGCUAUAGAUUUAUCAAUUUUAAACUGACCAGUUAUUUUUAUGGCCUCUUUUAGAGUGCCAAGUUUUUCUUGGGUUCUCCUCUUUCGGGGAGUUACAUCAUUUGAGCCGACAAGUCUACCACACUUCAGGCCUAUCUUAGAUUAAUUUGUUAACUAUCUUACAGGGACAUCAAUUUGUGCUGGAGUAUUUGCAACUAGAAUAUAAGACUUUGUCACUUUCUUUGUAUUAAUGAAUGCAUCUUGUAAUUGAUUUGCAAGAUUUUGCAAAUGAAUGAUCCUUUGAACUUUUAGUUCACAUUGAUUUGUAUGAGGAUCAAGAUAAGUCAAAGUCAAUGCAUUCCAAAUAAUUUCACACCGUUCUUGUGGAACUAGCUCUUCUCCCCUUAACGGCGAGAAAAUUGUCUCAUUAAAUGUCAUUCUACCUUUUAAGUGUAUAGGUAUACUAGUCACUAAUUAAAAACUUCUGGUUUUGUAAUGUAUAUCCAUAUGACCUUUUACCCCGGGGGACCAAGUUGGUCUUAAAAGAUUCUUUUGGAUCUAUCAUCAUAUAAAGUGUCAUUCACAUGAAAUCAAAUACUACUAGUGACAUAGUAUAAGCUCUUUUGGAGCCUUUAAUUAGGUUUCUAUCACCUGAUAUAAUAUUAACAUUGUUUGUCAUCAAUGUUGUGCAAUUAAUGAGACAAGAGUUUCAUCAAAGUAACAAGUCAUAAAACAUUGUCAUAAAGACUUCGUCUUUAUAGAGUUGAAUAAAUAUUAUCACAUAGAAAAAGUUAAAAUCAAUGGAAAAAUAUUAGUCAUCGAUGAUAACUUAACUUAAUAAGUUAUGUAAAAGCAAUGAGUGCAUAUAUAACAUAAUAAAAUAAAUAUGAAAAGAUAAUUUAAAGUUAUAUAUUUCGUAAGUAUCUCACACAUUUGAUUUUGUAAGUGUGGAGCAAUUUAUACAUGAAAUAACUAGGAAGUAUUUCAAUAAUCAAACUAAUUGUAGUGAUGGAUCAAGGUAUGAGAGAGAUCCAUGUAUCUUCAAGUAUAAAUAAAUAAAAGAAUUUAAAUGAUAAAUAAUAAAAUGUGAAAUAAACUAUAAAAGAUGAACAAUAAACAAUGUGUUCAAAUAUGAUAACAAAAUAAACCUAUUUGCAAAGAAUUAAAUAAAAACAUAACAUUUAAUCAUAAUAAACAUUUCCAUCACCAAUUAGAUGGUCAAUUUUCCCAUUAGGAUUCUCAAAGAAAUCCGAAACAUCUAAAUGGGUUAGAUCCACUUGGCCAUCACUAUCAACGAAGUUCAUUUCAACUUCCUUUCCUUUUAUUGAUGUUUGGUAAAGGUCGACCAAAUGUUUUGGAGUAUGACAAGUACGUGACCAAUGUCCCUUCAUACCACAUCAUAACACUUAUUCUCAUGGUUCUUAGGAGGUUUAUCUUGUAAACACUUCCCAUUUUCUUGUUUUACCUCAGUAUUAUUCCACUUCUGGUAGUGCAAUGAGGCUUUCCUUUUCUGAGAAUUUGGUGAAUUAUUACUAUAAGAACCAUGGUAUCAGAGAUUUCUUCCAUGACCACAACCACGUCCUUGUCAUCGUUCACGAGUCUGGGACAAUAUUGCAUUCAUUUCAGGGAAUGAUUUAGAUCUAGUUGGUCAACGAGGCUGGUGAUUUCUCAUCAAAAGCUCAUUUUUUGUUAAACCUUCAUGGAGAUGAUGACGAAGAAAAAUUAGUGUUUUUGCACAAUCCUGCAGGGAUGCUUGAUUUCCUUUGAUCAUAGCUCCAAGAUUCAUUGACAAUUUUGUUUUGAAUAACUUCUGGUUAUACAAGAGAAUUAGAAAUUGUAUGCAUAGCUAUGAAACUAUUGUUAAUAAAAUUUGUUUUCCAUAAUUCCUGUUGUGAAAAAUAAGUGAGUACAAAAUAAAAAAUUAAAAGUCAAUAUUUUUCAUAACUUUGAAUUAUGAUCAUUUUGUCAAAAACAAGAAAAUAUGAAAAUUUGGACAUAGUUUCAGGCUAUGAACUAUUUAUGUAUAACUUCUAGUUACACAAUAUAAUUAAAAGAAAUUAAAGAAAUUAAAAGUUAAUAUCUUUCAUAGCUUCAGGCCAUGAUUAUUUUGUCAGAACAAGAAAAUAUUUAAAUUUGUACAUAGCUUUAGGCUAUGAACUGUUUUUUUUUUUUAUAUAAAUUUGUAUAUAGCUUCAGGUUAUGAACUAUUCAUUGGGUAGAUUUGUGCAUAGCUUUGGGCAAUGAACUUUCAUUAUGUAGAUUUAUACAUAGCUUUAGGUUACGAACAUUUAUUUAUUUUAUAGCUUCUGGCUAUAAUAUUGUUUGGUAUAACUUCUAGUUAUAUCGUAUAAUUAAAAAUAAAUAAUUAGGGAUCAUAUACAUAACAUCUGGUCAUGUAUUUGUAAUUUUAUAAUUUUCCCCAUAACUUUUGGUUAUAGUGAUUGCACAUAUUUUUCAUAACUUCUGGUUAUGAAUUUACCCCAUAAUUUAUAAUUUACCUCAUAACUUCUGGUUAUAGGGAUUAUACAUAUUUAUGUAUUUAAAUAAACUAAAUGAAAAUCGAAAUAAAAGGGUAAUAAAAUAGAAAAUCAUGAUAUAAGUUUAUCACAUACCUUUUUGUGAGAAAGAAGAGAAAAAAGUCUUUUUAUUUCUCUGAAAAGGAGAAUGUCUUUCUUAUUUCUCUGAAUAGAGAAAAAUCUUUCUAUUUCUUUUGUAGAGACUAGUCGUGCUGAUAACGUAUUGUAAAAUUAUAAAGUGAAAGAAGAAGAAAACAAAAAAGAAAAUUUAGAAUGUAGGAAGAUAAUAAAAUGCAUGAGAAAACUCUCUUGAAUUUCAUUAGGGGUCUUUCCCUUUUAUAGAGAGUUACAAAAGAUAUUUAUGGAUGAUCAUCCAUAAGUUACCAUAGUGGUACAAAAUCUCAUAUUUUAUAACAAUUAAUUUUAUUUUCUUCUAUUUUUGCUUCAUAUUUUCUCUUAAUUUUUUUGGAGUGUCAAGGUUGCUUUACUAGUAGAGUGUGUUUGGUACGUGAUAGUGAGGAAUGAUGAUAAAUAUUUUGUUUCUAUUUAUAUUCCCUCUAAGAAUGAAUUUCAUUAUUUUAUUUUAAUUCUUGUGUUUGGAUGUAUAUAGGAAUAUAAUAUUGAAAUGUUAAUUUAUUUCCAUCCAAUGUUAAGUAAAAAUGAGAAUGAAAAUGAAAAUAAAAAUGAUCUAUAAUGUCCGCUCAUAUGGUUUAAAUUUUUUUUUUUUUUUUAAAAAAAAAUCUCACAUUGCACAUAAUUUGAAAUAAUUUUUUAUUUCCAAAAUAAUAAAAAUUUAUUUAUGUGUGUGGUUUAUUAAUAAGUUUAAUAAUUUUUUAAAAAUAAUUUAAAACUCAAAAAAUAUAUAAUGACUAUACAAAAUAAUAGAUAUAAUUAACGUUUUAAUUUCUUUAAUAAAUCUUAUAAUUUUUAAGAAUAAUUUGAAAUUGAAAAAAUAAUAAUUAAUUAAAGAUUAAAUAAAAUAAUUUAUAAUGUUUUUUUUUUGCAUAUAAUGAAAAUUUUGGCUCAUUUAUACCUUAAAAAAUAAAUUUUGUUUUUUGAGUUAUUAUUUAUUUAUUUAUAACAAAAUAAAUCAAUUAAUAUUAAUAUCUAUAUUUUUAUAAUAUUUAUAAAAAAAAAAUCUAAUUUAUGGUUUUAUUAUAAAUUCAUAUUUUAUUAAAAAAAUAUUUUAAAAAUUUAUUUGUAAUUAAAAAAUUAUUUUAAUUUUAAUAAGACGUGAAUUAAAUUUAGUUUACAUUAUAUAAAUUGAAUUUAUAAUUUUUUUUUUUACAAAAUAAGAAAUUAUUUUUAAAAACAACUUAUCUAAUAAAGUCUUUAAUUUUUUAUUUUUUGCAAUAUAUUUGUAAAAAUAACUUACAUUAGGAAAUCAAAAUACCUCUUAGUUAUGAUGAAUUGAAAUUCCACUUACAAGUGAGAUUUCAUUUCCAUUGGAAUCACUUUUGAUUAUAUUUCCAUCAUCAUUUAAGUUAUCCAAAUAUGAUAAUGAAGGAGGAAAUGAAUAAGAUACCCAUUCCUACUCCUCAUUUCUGCAUACCAAACACGCCCUCAUAGUUUUUUCAACCCAAUGUUAGCUUGUAAAAUGCUUAAGAAGGCACUUGGAAUGCUUGGAUUUUAAUGCCUUGGCUUGUCAUAUAUUGAUUUUGUAAAAUUAGGCUUGUAUUUGUGAGUUUGUUGUAGUGUCCCACAUUGCCCGGGGAGUGAAUGGGGAAAAGCCAUAUAGGGAGGGCUUUCACAACACAUUAUCAAGGCCUUUUCUUAAGGGCAUAUACUCAAUAAAGAAGCAAAAACGGGAUUGGAUGGUGGACCAUUUGUGCCCCACUACAGCUCAAACUAGACAAUAUUGGGUGGAGAGUGGGCCAUAACAGAAUGGUAUCCAUACUUGAUCUUUGGUUGGAAGUGGGCCAUUAAGGACACUAGGCUCAAAAGGAGGUGGCUUGUAGUGUCCCACAUCGUUCGGGAAGUGAAUAAGGAAGAACCCUAUAUGAAGGGUUUUCACAACACAUUAUGGAGACCUUUUCUUAAGGGUGUAGGCCCAAUAAAGAAGCAAAACCAGGGUUGACUGAUGGGCCAUGUGUGCACCACUACAGUCCUUAAUCGGAUAAUAUUAGGUGGAGAGUGGGGUCAUGAUAGAUGAGUGUUUAAACAUUUUGAUUUGCAAAAGCAACCUUAUUUGGUAAUCUAUCUAUUUGAUUGAAUGGCUAUGAGAUUCAAAGUCACAUCUUCCAACUUUUUCGCUCUUAUUGUAGUGCAUUUGUUGUGUAUCUUGAGUCAGUGCAAAGAUCUAUUGAGGGAUCUCUAAGAACAUGCCCUAUUACUAGCAUUUCUACAUAACUUUGUAUGAAGUUUUCACUCAUCCAAAUCUUCCUUUGUUUUUGGAAAAAUAGUUAUCACCAUUCUUAAAAAAUCCCAUCUAAACUAUUUGAAUUAAUCUCUUAACCUCUUAUAGGUAGCUUAAGUUCUCUUUCUUGCAUAGUUCGACACUUAUCUCACUAGGAUUUUUGUUACUCAAUUGAAAUUAACAACCCUAUACUUAGGAAUAAGUGAACACCAACACAAUAUCUGGGCUCAAGUAUUUUAAAGAAAGGCUAAUACGCUACCUUAAUUUCUAGUGUAAUUCUAGAAUCAUUUAUGUUCUUGUAUUCGGUGCUAUUAAUACAAACUAGACAUGGGCAAUGAUCUUGUGAAUGUAUGUGAGAAGAGAAAAUUUGACUUCGGAAUGAAAUGGUCGUAAAUAAAAAGUAGGAAGAUGAAAUAAGAGAUUGUUGCUCCAAGGUUAUGUAGAGACUUCAAUUAAAUAGCUAAGGAAGAAAAAAGAUAUUUGUGGAAGAUCAUUUAAGUCAAAUUCUUUGAUGAAAUCCUUGAAUUCGAGGAUAUCAGACAUCUAAAAUUAGUGAUUUUGAUCCAUUCUUUUCUCUUUGAUACUAUUAAUGAUUUAGAAAAGUGCAAGAUCAUUCAUUGAUAAUUAAUUAUGAAAUAUAAAACAGGUUUUAUAGUAUGCAAAUUAUCAUAAUGAAACUUUAGAAUAUAAGAUGAUUCAAAAACAAAAACAUUUUAGAAUUAAAGUGAAACAUGAAAUCAUUUGCACACAAAGAAAGAAGAUGAAUGCUUCAAAUGAAAUCAAAGUAGAGCACCCUACAAUAGAUGUCUAAGUAGACAAAAACUAUCAAACCAAAAAGCCAUUCCCAACGAUCUUACAAAACUCCAAAAGAAUGUGGUUUUCAUGGGUCAUUUAAAGCCUUCCAUUCUGGUAAUUUACUAGAUAAAUUGUUGUAAGCUACAACAAAGACUGCCAAGUUGUUUUGCUCUAUAAGUUGUGGAAGAAUGAGACCAAUUAACCUAAUGUUGGACAGAUCCAAACUUUUUAUAUCCUUUAAGAUUGAAAAAGUCAUUGAGAUGGAUCCAGUUAAAAGUGGUUAUAGAAUAAGUUUAGUUUAUGUACUACCUCACUAAGAUAUGCAAUUUCAAGAGGAAUUAUUCUUACGAAGUUGUUACUUGAGAGGCCCAUUCUAGACAUGAAGUACAAAAUGCCUCAUCUACUAGAUUCAGACCUACUUUUUGUUAUGAAAUCCACUACUUCAACUCCAUAAACAAUGUGCACAAAAUUUUACUUCCAAAUGAGUAUGGUUGUUGAGAUAAAGCCAAUACUAACAUAUUCAAUUAUACCAAACACAUCUUUCGUUGCUUAUUUCCUUCCAAGUGCUAUAUUUAAGCAAGUAGGUAUUGGACCAGAGAAAUUAUUGUGAGAAAGAUCCAUUAUGCUUAUUGAUUUUAGCUUAGUAGGAAUUAAAUCUUCAAGUUCAGUUUGUCUCAAGAGAAAAAGCCUCAUAUUUGAGAUGAAACUAAUCUGAGGAUUUUUUCCUGAAAAUUUAUCAUCCUUGAAAUCCAAUGUCAUGAGAGAGGGACUUCUUGAUAACAUAUGGUAGAGGUCCUCUGAUUCCAUGCCCAGCUGGUGUUCCUUGAUUUUGGUCCUCAGACAGGAGUAAUCAACAAAAUUUAUAACCUAUAUCACCAUGUACUAGGAUAGCCUCAGCUAGCAUAGCAUAGUGGCUCUAGGAUCGUUCACUGGGAAGGGUUUUCAACUUACAACUGAUAAUAAUUCAAAGUUGAAUUGAUGUUUUUUCAUUUCAAGGUUAGCUUCAAAAGAAAACAUAAACUUUGGUUUAAAAAGGAUUGGUUUUAAGCUAACUAAAAAUAAAGUAACGGAAAUUACUUAUAAAGAAAAGUGUUUCUUGGAGUUUUACGAUCACUGGGGUCAGGCUCCUAAUAUAAAAACAGAGUUCCGGUCACUUGAACUUUUCCUCGCAUUAGAGAAUUAACAUAUAGUUAUUUCUCUAACCGGUGUGGUAUAGAUGAUUCCCUUUUAUGGAUUCAAACACUAACUUUCUCUCACUGAUUCAUCUUGCAAUGACUCGUGCCUCUCACCUAGCAUUUUCCAUUCAAGGUGAUCCUUAACCUUGGAUUUCCCUUCACAAGCUCGCAAGAGAUAACUAAUGGAUGUCUCCUUAAAGUCCAAAAGCUUACCAAGUGUUGGCUAUUCUAGAAAAUCUUACCUUCAAACCACCUCCCAAAGGCUCGCAAGAGAUAAACUAGUGCAUCUCAAUGGACGGAGAUCACUUGCCUUACCAAGUGUUGGGCCAGGUGAUUUAAAGGCGUUUUAAGUUAACUAAAAACAUAGAAACCAUUAACGGGUUACACUUUCUCUUCAUUAAAAGCUGAAACAACAAAACUUUCAAUUCUUGCAUUCGGCACCUUACCCAGUUUCCUUAACUCCAAGAGACAAAAAGUCUAGCCACUCAUUCUCUGAGGAAACAUCCUCAGAGCUUGUUUGGCUAGUAAGAAAAAUACAAUCAAAAUGAGUAGGUAAGGUAGAGCAAAGCUCUGUAUAUUACUUCCUUCAAAACUAUACAAAAAGUUGUCUCUGAGAACAAGCUCCUGAGAUGUCUGUGUAAAGAAAAUUACAAACUAUAUAUAUGAGGUUAUUCACCCUUUGUUGUUACUUAUUAACUAAGGAAUCCUAUGAUUGGUGGAUUACAAGGAGAGAAUGGGGAUUUAAACAACAAAUAUCUAAAGAAAAAAAAUCUAAAAGAGUCGGUCACAAAUAUCUGGAAGCACUUAGGUGGAUUUCACAGGCAUACAAGAUAGGCUGCGAAAUUUCGCAAGCUGAAAGUCUCCAUUUCGCAGCCAAAGGUUGAUUUCACAGCUAGCACCUUGUGAUUUCGCAGUUGCGAAAUUGGCCUUCAGCUUAGUGUGAUUGGCUUCCAACGGCUAUAACUUCUUCAUUUCAACUUUGAUUUAUGCACCGUUUGAAGUGUUGGAUUUAUGACUUCCCGAACUUCAAAAUGAAAUAUAGUAGGCAUGAAAUAGACUCCAAAAAGUGCUCUAAUACUUAACACAAUUUGAUUGGAAACGAUUGCAAAGGUACUUAAUAUGCCAAUAGAGCUAAAAGGUAAUAACUACUACUCAAAAGUGUUUAAAAGAGUUAAUUACAAGCUACAAAAUAACACUUUUUAAGUAGUAAUCAUCCUCUAAAUUCAUUAAAAACCUCACCAUUGAUAGAUUGACAUAAGGUGGUAUACUCGAUCCAUGUUUGUUCUAUAAAAGAUUUAAAAAGUGAAGUUUGUUGAGCUUGAAAAAGCCUGCUGGUAUUGGCCCUUCCAAAUUAUUUGUGGACAAAACAAGUGAAGUUAACUUAGGCAAGUCUCCAACUCUAUCAAGGAUUUGACCAGACAGUAAGUUACUGCUUAUAUCCAAAUCUUAGGAAAGAAUUAUUUAAACCAAAAUCUCUCAAACCAAGCUAUUAUUUUUUAAAUAUAAAAAACAAAGUUGUCUCAAGUUUGACUCUAUAAGAAGAGUUCCAUACAAAUUAUUGUUUGAUGACUCCAAAAAUCUCAAUGACACAACCCAUGAGCAAGUUCUUAGGUAGUAGUCAUGAGAAAUUGGUAUUGGAUAAGACAAAAUUGUUGGGAUUAAGCCCCUUAAAGCAAGACAUGAGAUGACAAAGUUAGACUUACCUGUCCCCUUGUAAUCCAUUUGGUGUAUUGGCAUUGAUUUGAGCAUUCAACCUAUGUCUCUUACAUUGUACAUGACUUGAGUACAUUAGGAGUUACAUAAAAGAUACAAGCAAUGGGUUCCUUAUAAGUAGAUAAGUUGUCCAUAGUCAGUUCAUGGAUUUAGGCAAUUCAGUAGUGACUGUAGUGAACCGUCUCCUAAUUGGAGGGAUGACUUGUCUUGACCAUCAGGAUGGGUUUUCCAUGGUGAGUAUACCAAUGUAAGUGAUGCAUAUUAGACAUGACCUACGAUGAAUCAUGAUGCAAGGCUUUCAAUUGUUAUGAUUCACUAAACUACUUUACUACAUGGAUUCUCAAGUUUAAAAGGACAUUGAGUCUAUGUCAAAAUCAAAAGGAGGCUUUAAACUAUGGGUGAGACCCUAAAGUGGUUAUAUAUCCAUAUGGAUUGAGUCAUUAUUGAUAGAGACUAGUGACAAUAGGUAUUCUUAAUAAAGGCACCAUGAUAUCUCAUAGGAUUGAGACAAUGUGUCUCAUUGGGUAAUCCAAAUGACAUGUGAUCAUAAAAUAUGUGGCCAUAGUAAUUCCCUUAGUGAAAUUUGACAUAUACUCAUUGGAGUUAAAGUAUCUCAGUUGAUCACAUAAUAAGUGAGAUCUGUAACUCAAGGAUUUGAGAGGCAACCAUGAUAGGUGAUAACAAUACCUUGUUAUAUUAUGAACACCAGUUCAUGGGGAGUCUGGAUGCAAUAUAUAGUAGGUUAUGGACUUGAGCACUUUGUCACAGACUUAGUCUUUUCUUAAGCUCGUGUGACACUUAGACAAGCCAAGACCCUUGAUCUUGCUAAGUCAACCUUACUCCCAAUGCUUAGCUUGCUAGGUUAAGACGCUUGCGACUCAAAAGAUUUAGAAGGUGUAGUAGGCAACUCUUAAAGAAUGAAAGCUUUAUUGCUUUCAAAGGAAGCUAUAAAAAGCUUAGAAGCUCACUUGCUUGGUUAGGAAGUGAUUUGGGUGGUGCCUUGGCCAAAUGAGGCCCUCACCUAUUUAUAGGCACCAAUGGAACUCUCUGGAACCUUGGAGGGUUUCUUACAAAUCAAGAAAAUUCUAGAAUACCUUGCACAAUUCUAUGUACAACCCUAUGUACAAGAGAUCUCUAGAAUUCUCUAGAAAGCCUUGGACUCCUCUCAUGCCUUCCACCAUAGUGUAAAGAUGUGUAGACAUCUCUAGGCAUCUCUAGAAUCUUCCACACUUUUCCCUCCAAUGGCUUAGUGUAGAUGGCUCCAAGAGUCUCCAGAAGCUUCUUGGGAUCUAUAUAAACCCAUGAGGAGGCUCAUUUGAAGCAUCCUGUGACACUCUCCCCCACCUAUGCCGUCGACAUCCUCGUCGUUGCCUUUUUUUGAAACCUUUCGAUGUGUUUCCAGAACCUUCUCAAGGCAUCCGCAUGUUCCCAACUUACCUGCCUCCUAGGUAGUCAUUUCCAUCGGACUAGAUACUUUAUCACAAGAGGGACCCUUUGUCUCCUGGUGACCUAUUCAGCCAGGAUAUUUUUCACUUCUUUUUCUUGUGAGGCCUUGGAUGGAUGCAGAUCCCUGCACUUUCGAUGCUUGGAGUGCUGCUUUCUCUUACCCAUCAAGUUCACCUUUGCCUUGGUCACCUUGUCAAUGUAUGUGUGGGCUACCUUAGCUUACUCCCCUUUUCUCUCAUUUAUUUGCACCCUUGAUAGUAAGGAGGUCUUAGGUGUACUAGGAUUUGGGUUGAAUUGGAGGGCACCUAGUAGUUGCAUCGAGCCCAUAUGUGCUUUGUCUUCCUGUUCCAUCUCCUCGAUCAUGGCAUUGAGCACCUUCCUCUUUGGAUAAUGUCGUGCCCAAUGUGGACUAUCACAUAGGAAGCAUUUGAUUUUAGGCGUAAACUCCUUCCUUUUUGCUUUACCCCUUCCUUCUUGGACAUUAGGCGUCUUGCCUGAUCCCAUUCUAGGAGCAUUGUGGUCUCUUGAGACCUCGUCUCCCCUACUUGUGGCGUGGCUAUCCUCCAAAGACUCAACCUUGGAUAAGUCUCCCCUCUUGUAAUCCGUUAAAGACUCUGCUACUGCCAUAGCAGUGGUUAAGUCCUGAAUGCCUCGACGCCUUAAUUCCUACUCGGCCCACCCUUGCAGGUUAUCCAUGAAGUUGAAUAGCAACUCAUCCUCAGUCAUGUUAGGAAUCUCAAGCAUGAGUGAAGAGAAUUCCUUGACAUAGUCGCGUAUCAAGCUUGUGUGCUUGAGACGUUUCAUGUUUUUCCUAGCCAAGUAGCAGCCUUGUAGAUGGCCAACUCCUGCCUAACCUCCUAGUCUUGGGACUCCAUUCGAGUGGCCAAAGCCUCUAUCCUUGACUCCAUGCUAGCAAGCAUGCUCAAGACCUUUUCUUGGAAGGACACAAACUCCUCGUGCGACACUAGCUGAACCUGUGAGACUAGCACCCUCUCACGAAGGUCUUGGAUUUGCUCCCUUAGAUCCUCUAAACCCUUCUCCAUGCCUUGCUCAAUCAAGUCCAACCCCUCCCAAGUGUCCGCCAUGGCUAGCUCACUUUGGCUAACCUUGCCUCCAUGUUAGCAACGACAUCAUGAGAUUUAUCCUUCUUGCCCCUGCCCCAUGCAGUAGGCUCAGUCUCUCUCUUCUCCUCCAUGUUAGAGUCCGACAUGCUUCUUUUACUAUGCCCGCUUCGUAGCCAUGCUCUGAUACCACUUGUCACGGACUUAGUCUUUUCCUAAGAUUGUGUGGCAUUUAGACAAGCCAAGACCUUUGAUCUUGCUAAGUCAGCCUUACUCCAAAUGCUUAGCUUGCUAGGCUAAGACGCUUGCGACUCGGAAGCUUUAGAAGGCGUAGUAGGCAACUCUUAAAGAAUGGAAGCUUUAUUGCUUUCAAAGGAAGCUAUACAAUGCAUAGAAUCUCACUUGCUUGGUUAGGAAGUGAUUUGGGUGGUGCCUUGACCAAAUGAGGCCCUCACCUAUUUAUAGGCACCAAUGGAACUCUCUGGAACCUUGGAGGGUUCCUUACAAAUCAAGAAGAUUCUAGAAUACCCUACACAAUUCUAUGUACAACCCUAUGUACAAGAGAUCUCUAGAAUUCUCUAGAAAGCCUUGGACUCCUCUCAUGCCUUCCAUCAUAGUGUAGAGAUGUGUGGACAUCUCUAGGCGUCUCUAGAACCUUCCACACUCUUCCCUCCAAUGGCUUAGUGUAGAUGGAUCCAGGAAUCUCUAGAAGCUUCCUAGGCUCUAUAUAAACCCAUGAGAAGGCUCAUUUGAAGCAUCAUGUGACAACUUGGUGUCUUAUUCUAAUAUACAUAGGGUAUUGGAGUAUAGUUGACUCUUUAUAGUGAGAUGUUGAGUCAAUUUCAGAAUUGAAUUCUAUGGGAGAUAAUACUCCUAUAGAUACCAAUGGUUCCUACUCUGAGCUCAUAUUCCUUGAUGACACGGUUUAUGAGGGUUUGGUGGUUUUUAGUUCACUUUUGUGGAUAAGGGCAUUUUGGUAAUUACACAAGGUUGCAUAAGGAUAAGUGAGUGGUACCUCUAGACUGGACUAAUUGAUUAAUUAGGGUCUUAUAUGAUUAAUUAAUUGAUUAGCAAUCUUUUUUAGGUUAGAUUAAGUGACCUAAGCCCAUAGUGGGCUUAAGUGACUUAAGCCUAGUAGGAAGCCUAUAAAUACCCCUUUAAGGGUUAGAAUUUCCAUGUCUUGCCAUUUUCUCCCUACAAUUUAAAGAGAGAACCCUGACCUUCACCUUUGAAAUCUCAACUAUCUCAAUGCCUAGACAUAAGGAAAAGUCAUCGGGUGGAAGAUCAUGAUGUUUAUGAGAUUCAUUAUGACUUUAAAGUUAUCUACAUCAAUUGGAAUCGAUCCGAGAACAUCUGAAUUAAAGGUAUGUGACUUUAUUCUUUAGAUCUUGGAUUUCUAUGACAUCAAUAUUGAUUUUUGAAUAUCUAGUUUUUCGCUAUGAUAGAUUUAGAGAGCUUAAGAUAGAUUUUCAUGCAUCUUAUGAUAUUUAAUGCCUAAGAACGGGGUAAUCUGGGGUUCCCUACGAAAAUUUCCAAUUUUUUCAUAUUGCCCACCAGGAAUUUUAACUUGCAAUGAAUUCCCAAACAAGUUGAAGACAACCAAGUUUGGAAAGGCAAGGCUUACUUGAGGUGGAAGAUCAUGUCCAACAAAAUCAUGUAAAAAUUGCUUGAAUCAGAGACUAAAUCACAAACAGCUAUUAAGAUAUUACCUCUAAUUAAAAUUUAGGAAUUCAAAAUUUAUAUUUUCACCAAUGACCACAUUAGAACAUCGCUGGUCAUGCCAUUAUGAUUGAGGUCAACCCCUUUCAAUUCAUAUUGAUUAAUAGAAAACUGUGUAUAACAUUACAAUGGUUAUUUGAUGAUAAGGGUAGGUUAGCUUUGACAAGCUACUCUUAGGACUACUAUGAACACCAAUAUUUAUAUGAUCUUAAAGACCUUGACAUUUUCCUUUAGGAUGGCUAAGGGGAUUUCAAAGAUUAUAAGGCGUUCAUAUGGAAGUUAAAGGUUCUUCAAGUUCUUCUGUCAAAAAGAAUAAGAAGAACACCAAAUGAGGAAAGUUCAAGGGAAAGAAUAAAAAAGCAAACUAAAGGGUAAGUGAUUCCUUUAUGACCUUUUAAGACAGUAGAAAAGGAAUGCCUAGUUUAGCUAAAGGAAAAAAAAAAGUAUACAUCAUUUUCUCCUUGUUGAAUAUUUAAAGGUGGAUUUCACCAUUUAUGGUGGAUAGAUUCCAAACUUACUGUUUAUAAGUCCUUAUAGGAUAUUCAACAAAUGUGAAGGUUAAAUGAUGUGAUUAUAUAUUCUUUUAUAUGUAUUCCAUUAUCACUUUGUCAAGUGAUGAGAAUAGUCAAAUCUCAAGAUUGAACCUAGUACUAAUUAAACAUUUGGUAUCUAAACCUAGGUCAUAUUAAUCUAAAUAGGAUCCAAAGACUGGUAAAGUUUGAACUUUUUUUAUUCAAGAAGAUCUUCCAAUCUAUAAAUCAUGUAUAAAUGGUAAAAUGGCGAAGAGGAUUAGAGCUAAGGAAUGUUUGGAGUCAGUGCAUACUAACAUGUAUAUAACUUUUAGUAUCUAUGCAUGGGAAAGGUAUGAGUAUUUCAUCACUUUCAAUGACAAUUAUUCUAGGUUUGGAUAAGUACAUAGGAAAUCUGAUACCUUGGAUACAUUCAUUGAAUUUAAGGCGGGAUCAAUAAACUAUUGGGUAUACAUACCAAGUCAUUUCAAUUAGAUCAAAGUGAUAUGUCUAAUAAGUUUGAUUCUUUUUGUUGGAGCAUAGGAUUAUUUUCCCAGAUUAUUUUAGAGUUAUGUCUUACUGAUUAUGUAAUACUUCUUUUUCUUAAGAGGUAUAUCAAUUUAUAGGAUAUCUAAGCAAUUUUUGGGUUAUCAUAUUUAUAGUCAAGAUCAUUAGAAGAUAUUUUUUUUACACAAAUGUUAGAUUUUAUAUAAAGACUAUAUGAUAAGGAAUAAAACAAAGAGUGAUAUAGAUUGGCAAAUAUAUUAGAAAAUAGUCCCAUAUUUCAUAAUAUACUAUGGAUUUAGAGGGUAAGAAAUAUACCAUUCCUAUGGUUUCUAGUACACCAGUACCUCAGCAUAGUGACAGGUUUAUAUCACAUAGAUUAUGAUGAAACAGUGAAUAGUGUUUGUGCUCACUUAAGGUAAUGAGCUAUGAAGAAGUAGUUAUAAUUUUUUAUUCUAACAUAGUUUGGGUUCCUGUACAAUAACCUAAAGGGAUAAAACCCAUAGGUGUAAGUUAGUUUACAAGAGGAACACAUGAGUAAAUGGACAACUUGAGUUUUAUGUGGCUAAGACUGUAGCUAAAGGUUAUAGUUUGAAACUUUGUUUCAACUAUGGAAAACCUUUUCAACCAUGGUCAUACUCAAAUCCAUCAUAAUACUCCUAUCUAUUGCAACGUGUCUCAUUUAUGAGAUAUAACAACCAAACAUUUGCAUAGCAAAGGGCCUUAUGUGUACCAAACGACAUAGGGAAGCAUGGUGAUGCUCUAAGAUCUUAUAGGUAGAUAACAAUAUACUUAUUGGAUAUGAUAUAGGGAUAUUGUCAUCUAUCAAGAUCUAGUUGUUUGCUUAAUUCUAGAUAAAAAUCUAGAGGAAGACGCAAUAUAUUCUUGGGGUUAAGGUUCUUUAGGACUAUAAGAAUAGGAAAAUCGUGUCAUGUCACCUACAUUGUUGAGCAUUUGGUUAAGUACAUGAUGAAAACUCAAAGAACGAUUUGUUACUCUUUAAGUUUGGAGUUGUCUUUCUCAGGAUCAAUGACCUUGGACAUCUAUGGAAAAAAGUCACAUUAAGGUGGUAUUUUAUGCCUCUACAAUGGAUAGCCUUAAGUAUGCAAUGUUAUGUGCUUGACCAGAUAUUUACUUUGUUGUAUGAAUGAUGAGUACAUAUUAGUCCAAUUCAAGAUUAGAGUUUUGGGCAGAUGCCAAGCAUAUACUCAAGUAUCAUUGGAGAGCGAGGGAUUAUAUGUUUAUGAGUCUUUGCGAUAAGUUGGUGCUCUUUUUGUAUUGAGAAUUAAACUUUCAGUCCAAUGAGGACUAGUGCAGGUCUAUUUUUAGGCAUGUGUAUACUCUAAAUAGUCUUCGUAGCUUUUGAAGCAACAAAUAAAACCUUUUAGCUUAUGAGUAGUUCCAUUGGCUAUAUCGUCUAAGAUACUAUGAUGUAAUAACGGUGGGACAGUGGCAUAGUCUAAAGCACCGAAGUACUACUAGAAGAGGAAACACAUAGAGAGGAAGUGUUACCUUAUUAUGAGAUAGUAUAGGAAGAUGAUAUGAUUGUGGAGUAGCAUCUUUUUGCGAUGCCUAGUUUGUUUUUGUGGCUAGUAGGAGUUUGUUGGGAUUAAGCCCCUAAAAGCAAGACAUAAUGUAACAAAGUUAGACUUAACUAUCCCUUGUUAUUCUUUUGGUGUAUUGAUAUUGAUUUAAGUAUUCAAUUGAUGUCUCUUACAUUGUAUAUGACUUAGGUGCAUUAGGAGUUGUAUAGAAGAUACAAGUAAUGGGUUCCUUGUAAGUAGAUAAGUUGUUUAUAGUUUGUUUAUGGAUUUGGACAAUCCAAUAGAAAUUAUAGUGCACCACCUCCUAAUUGGAGGGAUGACUUGUCUUGGCCAUCGAGAUGAAUUUCCAAUGGUGAGUGUAGUGUAUGUGAUGCACACUGAAUAGGACCUAUAGUGAAUCAUAACAUAAGGCUAUCAAUUGUCAUGAUUCACCAAGCUACUAUACUGCAUGGACUUUCAACCUUGAGAGGAUAUUGAGUCUGCCAAAAUCAAUAAGAGGCUUUGAACUAUGGGUUGAGUCAUAUAUCCCUAUGGGUUGGGUCACUAUUGAUGGAGGUUGGUGGUAAUAGGUAUUCUCAAUAGAGGUACCAUGAUAUCUCAUGAGAUUGAGAUAGUUUGUUCCCUUAGGUAAUCCAAAGGUCAUGUGAUCAUAAAAUCUGAGGCCACAUUAAUUCCUUUAAUAGAAUUUGACAUAUGCUCCUUAGAGUUAGAGUAUGUUAGUUGAUUACUUAAUAAGUUGGAUUUGUAAUUCAAAGAUUUGAGAGGUAAUCUUGAUAGAUGAUAACAUUACCUUUUUAGAUUAUGAACACCAGUUUAUGAGGAGUUUGCAUGUAAUAGAUAGUAGGUUAUAGACUUGAGCUUCGUCUCGUUUUUAUUUACAUAGGUUACUAGAGUGUAGUUUAUUCUCUUUAGUGGAAUAUUGAAUUAACUUUAGAAUUGGAUUUUGAGAGAGUCCGUACUUCUAUGGGUCCCAUUGGUCCCCGCCCUAAGCUCAUAUACCAUGAUGUCAUAGUUUAUGAGGGUUAGAUUAACUUUAAGUUCUUUAUUGUGCAUAAGGGUGUUUUGGUAAUUACGUAAGGUUAUAUAGUGGAUAAUGAACAAGGUCUCUAGAUUGGACUAAUUGAUAAAUUAGAUAACCCUAUGUGGUUAAUUAAUCAAUUAGGACUUGUUUUGGGUUAGAGUAAGUGAACUAAGCUUUAAUGGGCUCAAGUCACUUAAGCCCAAUGGGUAACUUUAUAAAUACCCUCUUAUGGGUUAAGUUUUCCUAAUGAUUUUCAGUUAGUCACUUUCCAUCUUAAGAAAGAGAGAGAGAGGAGAAAAAGAAAAAGAAAGAGAGAGAGAGCUAAAGCUUCCUCUCUUUCAUUGCCCACUCUUUGGAGUACCAAGAUCGUUGUUUGAGUCAUCAGGCGAAAAAUCUGGGGUAUAUGAGACCUCCAUAUUUUUCAGGCAUGUUAUUCAAUAGAUGGAUUUUUAUUUGGAACAUCCAGCUUAUAGGUAUGAGUUUUAAAUCUCUAGAUCUUUAUUCUAAAAUGGUUUUGAAGCCAUUAUUUUAGUUGAAUUUGAUCUAGAGAUCCCUAAGGAUAGAUGCAUGUACCCUAUGAGAUCUAAGACAAGGGAAUGGAGUAAUACAAGGUUCUAAUUAUGAAGAACAAAUUUGAAGUUGUUGAAGAUCUUGUUUACCCACUAGUCUUCCACCUCGAUCUCUCCUUACACAUAACCAGGCAUAAGAAAAGUGUGAACUUUUCUUUAUAAAGGGUGGCUAGGGUUUUUCUUUAGAGGCUUUCUCUGGAAAAUGAUGGAAAAUUUGAAACCCUAAUCCCUAAUAGGGGUAUUUAUAGGGCUUCUUAUGAGCUUAAGUGACUUGAGCCCAAAUUGGGCUUAACUCACCUAAUAUAGCAUUACUAAGUCCUAAUUAGUUAAUUAUCCUUAAUAGACUCCAAUUAAUUAAUUAGCUCAUGCUAGAAAAAAAAUUCAUAAGAUCUAGUGCAAACUUGCAUUUUUACUAAAACACCCUUAUACACACUUCUGAACCAAAAACAAAAAUCUCUCAAAAUAAACAUGUCUCUAUAUAAUAAGAGCUCUAGUAGGGACCAUUGGGAACCAUAACAAAAUAUUGGCUCUUUCAAAAAUCUGAUUAUGAAGUUGAUUCAACACUUUACUAAAGAAAAUUAAUUGCACUCUAAUAUCCUAUGAAAUUACAACAAGCAUAGCUCUGGCUCGAGCCCUACUAUCCACUUCAUGCAAAUUCUCCAUGAACGGUCCACAAUUUAACAAGGUAGUGUUAUCACCUAUCAAGAUUAUCUCUUAAAUCUUUAAGUUAUAGAUCCUCUUUAUUAUAUGAUCAAUUAACAUACUCUAGCUCUAAGGAGCAUAUGUCAAAUUUCCAUUAAAGGAAAUGUUAUGACUAAUAUUUUAGAUUAGAUGUCCUUUGAAUCACAUAAGGGGACACACUAUCUUAAUACCAUGAGAUAUCAUAGUGUUUUUAUUGAUAAUAUCUGUUGUCACUAGUCUCCAUCAAUAGUGACCUAAUCCAUAGGGAUAUAUGACUACUUUAUGGUCUCACCCAAUGAGUCAAAAUCUCCUAUUGAUUUUGGCGCAAACUUAAUACCCUCUCAAGGUUGAGAGUCCAUGUAGUAUAAUAGAUGGGUGAAUCAUGAUAACUAAUAGUCUUAUGUCAAGAUUCAUCGUAGGUCCUAUCUAGUAUGCAUAAGAUACACUAGUGCACUCACCAUGAAAAAUUCAUCCCGAUGACCAAGAUAAGUCAUUCCUCCAAUUAGGAGGUAGUACACUAUAGUCUCAUAUGGAUUGCCCAUAACUUAGAUUUUCUAUGUAACUCCUAAAGCAUUCAAGUCAUGUAUAUUGCAAGUAAUGUGAGCAUUUAUUCUCAAAUAACCAAUUAAUGCAUACGAGAUAGGAAAAAGGAAACAAGGAAACAUAAAUAGAUAGAUUUAUAAAUGAGUUUUUAACCUAUUAGAUCAUGUCAUACUUUUUAGGGCUCAAUCUAAAAAAAAAGUCAUAAUUGAGGAGUAGCACAAAUAAUCAAUUGAAAAAGUAGGCAAUAUCAUGGUUCUUGCAUUGAGUAUUAUUAUGAAAGGGCUUACUUAAAGCCACCUAACAAGUUGAGUCUUAACAUAAUAUUUCUUACAUCUUGGAGCGAAAUCACAAUAUUAUAGUAAAAUAGGCUUACGAUUCAUCAUAAAUUAUACCUUAAGAAUUUAUUAGAAUAUUGGCAUAUAAUAGGGAGCUAACCUAUAAUAAUCAUUAAAUCCUAAACAGUUACUCCUUAUGGUUUGAUGCACACUAAUAGAAUAUGGGAAGAAAUUUAAAUGAGGAACUAGCACAACCAAAAGAAUAAAAAUUGGUAAAGAAAAAAAAAUGAUGGCAUAAAAGUUGUGUUUUGCAUUAAUUCAAGGCCACGAGCAAGUGACUAGGCAUAGGGCUAGCCAAAAGUGUUAAGCACUUUGCAAUACAAUAAAUGUUAGAAAUAUAUGGAUUUCUCUAUUUCUUGUCCCUAAAUCUCAUAAGGUGCAUGUAAAUUAUCCUAGGCUUCUCUAAAUCUAUCAUAGGCGAAACAUAUGGCUAUAAAAUCCAUACUAGGAUAAAAAUCUAAAGAUAUAGUGCUCAUACUUGAAUCUGGAUGUUCUUAAAUUGAUUCCUUGUAGUGAAAAAUAUGCUUGAAGGUCUCGUACACCCAAAAUCUUCUGCUCGAUGACUCAAACCACAAUCUUGGCACUCCAAAGUGUAGGUUUUGGAAAUAAGGAAGCUAUCGUUUUCUUUCUUUGGAGAUGGAAGAAGGCUAUCACCAAAAUGUGAUGGAAACCCUAACCCCCUUAAGGGGUAUUCAUAGGGUACCCCUACUAGGCUUAAAUGACUUGAGUUGAACAAGGUUUGAGUCACUUAAUCUAGCCUAAAAUAGGACUUAAUUUAUUAAUCAAUUAGCCUAAUCCGGAGACCUUAUUCACUAUCCCCUAUGCAACCUUACAAAAUUACCAAAAUGCCCUUAUGCACAAAAGUCAACCUAGAGUCAAUCUAAUCUCAUAAAUCAUGUCAUUAUAGUAUAUGAGCUUACAUCGAGGACCAUUUGGACCCAUAGGAGUACUAGCUCUCUCAUAAUGCAAUUCUGAAGUGGAUUCAACAUUUCACUAAAGAAAAUCAACUACACUCAGUAUCCUAUGUAAAUAACAAUGAGAUAAAGCUCAAGAUCCGUGACCUACUACCCACUACAUGCAGACUCCCUAUGAAUUAGUGUCCAUAAUCUAACAAGUUAGUAUUAUCAUCUAUCAAGAUUACCUUUCCAAUCCUUGAGUUAUAGAUCUCACUUAUUAUGUGACCAAAUGACAUAGUCUAACUCAUAAAAAGCAUAGGUCAAAUUCCAUUUAAGGAAUUACUAUGGCGUCAUAAAUUUCAUGAUAACAUAUCCUUUGGAUCACCUAAGGGGACACAGUGUCUCAAUCUAUGAGAUAUUAUGGUGUCUCUAUUGAGAAUAACUAUUGUCAUUGGCCUCCAUCAAUAGUAACCCAAUCCAUAGGGAUAUAUGACUACUUUAGAAUCUCACCCAUAGGUCAAAGUUUCCUAUUGAUUUUGGUAUAAGCUCAAUAUCCUCUCAAGGUUGAGAGUCCAUGCAAUAUAGCAGUUUGGUAAAUUAUGACAAUUGAUAGCCUUGCUCAUGAUUCAGCAUAGGUCUUGUUCAGUGUGCAUUACAUUCAUUAGUGCACUCAUAGGAAAUCUAUUUUGACGGCCAAUACAAGUCAUCCCUCUAAUUAGGAGGUGGUGCACUGCAAUCUCUAUUGGAUUGCCCAAACUAUGAACUGAUUAUGAACAACUUAUCUACUUACAAGGAACUCAUGACUUGUAUCUUUCGUGCAACUCCUAAUGCACCUAAGUCAUGUGAGAAAAUAAAAGACUAAUCUAAUAGAUAAAAACACCCAAGAGGCACAAUAAAAUUUAGCACAAGAAGCACAAAUAUAAAGAGAUAAAGUUAUAGAAUGCAAAGUCAGAUUUAUAGUGGUUCGACACUUUCUUGCCUACAUCCACUCUCCUCAAGUUCCUAACCAAGUGAGGGUUCCACUUAUACUUGAAGCUUCAACCAAGCUUCUAAUCAUUUUUACACUUGGAUUUCGACUCUAAUGGGCUCUUACACAAUCUCUUCAAGUCUUUACUCACGUGAAGACUUUAACACUCAAUUAACAAGUAUGAAUCUCUCAACCUAAUUCAACAAUGGCUCAAAUACAACUCAAGGCUAGAAUGAAUCACAAGGGUGCACUAAAGAAUAUGUAAAUGAAGAUUUAAUGCACCAAGAAAAGAAUGAGAGCUUUUAUGGCAAGAAAAAGUAGGUAAACAAAUAAAUGUAGGUGUUCUCUUCUACGUAAAUGAAUUGGAGCUCUCAAUUUAUAGGUUUCUAAUCUCGGGAGCCAUAAAAAAAAUAAAAAGCAACCUUGACUGGUCGAGCUGGGGGUCUCCUAUAUCUAGUCUCCUAGAUCCUAAAAUAUCUCCCCCUUUUGGCAACAUCAAAAAGGAAGAAAUGGGGGUCUCUAAUGAAUCAAGGCUGAUGAGGUAAAGGUGGAAAUACAGAACGCAGAUAGGUCAUCAUCUCUUCACGCGAACGCUCCAAGCGAUCCUCAAUACACUUAACCCUCUGCUAGAGAUACUCAAAUUGCGAAGUAAAGCCAACCUGAUACUGAUCCAUAUAAUCCUCCAUGGAGUAGAAACGUGUAUCACUAACCACAACAAGCUCCUCCAUGCGAGUGCCAAGAGAGGUGAUCUAAGCAGAUAAAUCCAUCCAUUGAGCAUGGUCAGGAGCGAGAAGUGCCUGAGGAGGUGGUAUCUCAGUAUGGGUAGGCUCAGUGAAUGAUGGCUGAGUAGAUGGACCCUUUGUAAAAGUCAGCUCAGUCAUCAUCGGCUUAGAGAAGGUAGCCUAAAAUUGGACACCCUCUAUCUGGAGUGGGGGAAUGUCAAGCUCAGGUCCUCCCCACUGAUAGCCACUCUGACUGUCUACUCCACUUUCCAUCUCUCGAAUCUUCAUCUCUUCCUCAACUCCAGGAUGUGUCUGUCCCUGUCCUCGGGCCAGUGUUGGUGCUCUCUCUAUUUUUCUCACCUAAAAACCAUUUGGGGCCUUCUCAAAUUUUAUCAUCCCCAUGGACUAAUUAUUAUAAUUAUCAUGUGUUGGAGGCCUCAAAAUUUGUCUCUUUACUCAGGUCAACGUCGACAUCCUUGAAUACUCUAGCAAGAAAGUGACCAUAGAGGAGUACACGAGUCGUGUUCUCGCAACAUGCAAUCAUGUGCAUCAUCAUCAAAUAUCCCAAAUGGAUCUGUCUCCUAGUCAAAAUAGAGUCUAUAAGGAAUGCCUCAUAAUAAGAGGCUUUAUCUCGAUGUCCACCAUGUGGUAAAAAAAUAGAGCACAACAUAUGGUGUAGUACUCUGUUGAUGACCGUCAAGUUGUGUGUUGAGGGUUUGCCCAUCCCAUGGGUGUUUGGAAGUCCACAAAUCCUCUUAAUACCCUCUCUAGGCUCAAAUCCCGACACAAUGGGCCACAUAUUUGAAUUGUAUACUCUAAGUCCAACCGAAGCAAUAUCAAAGAUACGACAUGUGCUCUCUGGGUCCAAACGAAUCUCAACUCCUCUAACAGUAGAUGCGAUCGGGCUACCCAUGCCAUAAGUCGCUCUCGAGUAGAAUGCUCGAACCAAUGCUUAGAAACAAUAACCGCAUACAACCAGCCCAUCCUAGUGAAUAAACCCUUGAAUCUGAAGUACUGAAAUUGGGGAAAAUUAAUAUUUCUCUCGAGAACUACUCAUCUCUGAGCAAAAUGUUACUUGUACCGUUGGUUGUCCUCCACGAAACUGAAUAAGGCAGUGUCAAACCACACCUUUUAGCGUGUCUCUAGCUGAGAUGACUCAGCUAGGCGCUAGCCUUGUGCCCUAGAGGUCGUGGGCUCUCGCUAGGGGCCAUGGAAGAUGGAAAAUGAGCAAGAUGAAGAAAGAGAACUAGUAGAGGCUCACACCUAGAACCCAAACGAACGGAAAUGGAGAGAGAUCUGUGCUGGAGCUGACUAUGAUGCACCUAAGGAAAAGAAGACCACUCCAAAUGGAAACCUUAACCUUUAAAGUCUUUAAAACUCUCUCAAAAUCAGGUUAACCAGUAAAAAAUGCACUGAAAUUAGUCUCUAAAAGCCAAAACCAGAAAAACCCUAAAGAAUCAGAGGAGAAUGGAGCAGAAAAAAAAGUGCAGGAGCCUCUUAAUAUUCUUAACCUCGACGAACCGGUCGACCGAUCCUCAUCCAAUCGACCAUUUGGUCAAUGUGGUCAACGAUUUUGACUUUCCAAUUUUUGUGCACUUUUUCAUUUUGCGAUCCUCCCCUUGCCAUUUUCAAUUUAAAUCCCCAAUUUUUUUAUGCCCAAUACUAAAAGAAUUUUUAUUUUUGGUCAAAAUUUGACCAUUAUCUAAGUAUAUGUCUAUAUGAUGCAUGUGACAUGAAAUUUAAGCAAUCAAAAGGUAUAUUCAUCAAGAAUUCAUUAAGAAAACAUUUGAUGAUGAUGAAAUUACCCCUAGUUGUCUUCUAAUAUCAACAAAUUGUUCUUCACUUAGAGGUUUUGUAAAGAGAUUGGCAAGUUAAUCUUUAGUGCUUAGAAAUUCAAGUGUUAUGUCAUCUUUUUGUGCAUGAUCUCUAAGAAAGUGAUGUCCAAUCUCCUAUGCUUAGUCCUAGAGUGUUGCAUAAGAUUUUUUGAUAUACUUAUGGCACUGGUAUUAUCACAUUUAAUGGGAACAUGCUCAAAAGAUAAAUCAAAAUCACUAAGUGUUUGUUUCAUCGAAAGGAUUUGUACACAACAUAAACCGGCUGCUAUGUAUUUGGCUUCCGCAGUUGACAAAGUUACCGAAUUUUGCUUCUUACUAUGCCAUGAAACAAGUGAGUGUCCUAAGAAAUGACAAGUGCCACUAGUGCUUUUUCUUUCAACCUUACAACCAAUAAAAUCAGCAUCCGAAAAGCCAAUUAAUUCAAAGUUAUCACUCUUAAGAUACCAUAAGCCUAUGUCCAUUGUCCCUUUCAAAUAUUUGAGGAUUCUUUUUACGACACUUAAGUGAGAUUCUUUAGGACAAGAUUGAAAUCUAGCACACAAACAUACACUAUACAUAAUGUCGGGUCUACUAAUGAUCAAGUAUAGCAAAGAACCUACCAUGCCUCUAUAUAUAGUAGAGUCAAUGGAUUUACCUUUCUCAUCCUUAUUAAGCUUGAUGGAUGAGCUCAUUGGAGUCUUCAUUGUUUUGGUUUCCUCCAUGUUGAACCUUUUGAGAAGAUCUCUUAUAUACUUUGCUUGAUUGAUGAAGGUUCCUUAUUUUAGUUGUUUGAUUUGAAGUCCAAGAAAAAAUUUGAGUUCUCCCAUCAUGCUUAUUUCAAACUCACUAUGCAUGCACUUAGCAAAUUCUUCACAAAGAGAGACAUUAGUAGUACCAAAAAAUGAUAUCAUCAACAUAUAUUUGAACUAAGAGCAUUUCAUUUUCUUUGGUUUUUAUGAAAAGAGUUGUGUCAAUUUUUCCCAUUUUAAAACCAUUUUCCAAAAGAAAUUUGCUCAAUUUUUCAUACCAUGCUCUAGGUGCUUGUUUCAAACCAUAAAGUGUCUUUUUAAGUUUAAAAAUAUGGUUAGGAAAGUUGAAACUUUAAAAGUCGGGUGGUUGGUCAACAUACGCUUCUUCAUUUAUAAAACCAUUUUAAAAAACAUUUUUCACAUCCAUUUGAUAUAAAACAAAGUCUUUAAAACAUGCAAAGGCAAGUAGCAUCCUAAUAGCUUCCAACCUAGCUACGAAGGCAAAGGUUUAUUCAUAAUCUAUCCCUUCUUGAUUAAAACCUUGGGCUACCAAACCUUGCUUUGUUUAUAACAAUUAUGCUAUUUUCAUCCAUUUUAUUUCUAAAGACCCAUCUAGUUCCAAUAAUACUUGGAUUUGAAUGUCUUGGUACUAAUUCCCAUACUUCAAAUUUUCAAAUUGAUUUAACUUUUUUUUAUAGAAAUCAUCCAAUUUUCAUCAUCUAAAGCAUCAUUUAUAUUUUUAGGCUCAAUUUGAGAGAUAAAAUCUUAUUUAUUGAAAAUGUUUCUAAGAGAGGAUCUAGUUCUUACCCCACUAGAUGGAUUACUUAUGAUUUGAUCUUGUGGGUGAUUGAUGACAAAUUUCCAUUCUUUAGGAAGGUCUUGGCUUGAUUCACCUUGCACUUGUUGAGGAGGGGGUAGUGCCAAUGGUGAUCCUUUUUUCUUGGGAUUCUCUCCAUUUUCUUCUUGUUGUAUUUUACCUUCAAUUUGCAAUCUUCCCAUGAAGGUCUCUAAACCUAAAUCAUCAUCAACACUCUUUCUUUCUUUGAUAGAAUUGCUAGAUUAAUAAAAAAUAACAUGGAUGGACUCAUCUACAACCAUAGUUUUUUUGUUGAAAACUCUAAAGGCUUUACUUGAAAAUGAGUAACCAAGAAAAAUUCCAACACCCGAUUUUGCAUCAAAUUUUCCAAGAUUGUCUUUAGUGUUUAAUAUAAAACAUUUGCAUCCAAAGACUUUGAAAUAACUAAUGUUGGUUUUCUUGUUUUUCCAAAGCUCAUAAGGAGUUUUCUUAAGUAUGGGUCUUAAUAAAACUCUAUUUAAAACAUAACAAGAAGUGUUAACUGCUUCGGCCCAAAAAUAUUUUGGUAGGUUGUUUUCAUUUAACAUGGUUCUUACCAUCUCUUAAAGGGUUCUGUUUUUCCUUUCAACUACCCCAUGUUGUUGAGGAGUUCCAAGAGCCGAAAAUUUGUAGUCAAUUCCAUGCUCAUUGCAAUAAUCUUCAAAAUUGAUAUUUUCAAAUUCUUUCCUAUGAUCACUUCUUAUACAAGUAAUUUCAAAGCCUUUUUCAUUGUGAACCUUAUUGCAAAACUUUGAAAACUCAUAAAAGGAUUCAUUCUUUUGAAUUAAAAACAAGACCUAUGUGUAUCUAGAGAAGUCAUCCACAAUAACAUACGUAUAAGAUUUUCCUCCAAGAUUUGGUGUCUUAGAAGGACCAAAUAAAUCCAUAUGCAAUAACUCAAGUAGUCUAGAUGUGGAAAUUAAGUUUUUGUUUUUAAAAGAGUUUUUUAUUUGCUUUUACACUUGAUAAACUUCACAAAUUUUAUCUUUUUGAAAAUUUAUUUUGGGAAGGCCUCUAACAAGUUCAUCUUUGUUAAGUUGGGAAAUAAGGUCCAUGUUAGCAUGUCCCAACCUCCUAUGCCACAACCAAAUUUGAUCAUGCAUGCUUGAAAAGCAUCUAUCAUGACCAUCAUAUUUUGAAAUAUUUAUAGCAUAAACAUUAUCACAUCUAUGGCAUGUGAAGAUGGUUUUAUUAUUUUGAAUAUCCUUGAUAAUACAAUGAGAUGCUUCAAAAAUCACUUAAAAACCUUUCUCACAAAGUUGACUAAUGCUUAAAAUGUUAUGUUUUAAACCAUCUACUAAUAAAACACUUUCAAUGAGAGAGGAUGUGUCAUUACCAAUGUUGCCUUGACCAAUGAUCUUUCCCUUUGUGUUGUCUCCAAAUGUAACAUAUCCUCCAUUUUUCUUUGUGAGAAAAGCAAACUUGGAUUCAUCUUUGGUCAUGUGUCUUGAGCAUCCACUAUCCAAGAACCACUUAUCCUUCUUUGAACCCUACAACAUAAAACUCAAGUUGAUUUAGGUACCUAUAUCUUUUUGGGUCCUUGAGGGUUGGUGACCUUGGAUUUUUCAAUCCAAAUCUUUUUAGUUUUGACAUUUGAAUUCUUUUGAGAACCAUUUCUUAAAGGACAUUUAUUACUAAUGUGUCAUUCUCUUCCACAAAAAUUGCAAGUAGUGGAAGGACUUACACUCGUGGAUUCCUUUACAAAAUAGUUUUUAAAAUACUUUUGAUUUUUUGAAGAUUUGAAUCAUAACCCUUGUUUGUCAAAAACACAUUUUUGGCUAGCUAGAAUCAUUUCAAAAGAUUUUUGUCCACAAGAAAAGAUUGAGAGAGAGGAUGUCAAUCAUUCAUUUUUCUUUCUUAAAAUCUCAUUCUCUUUUUCAAGAUGAGUUUUAGAAACAUCAACAUUUGAAAAUUUUUCUUUUACUUCUCCAAGUUCUUUUUCAAGUUGAGAGAGAGAUUUUUCAAACUAAGUUUUUCAAAAUCCUCAUACAAUUCUUCAAAAGCAUCUUGUAUAUCUUCAUCACUAAGGUUAGAGUUUACCUCAUCAAAUUCAUCUAUUGUCAUGAAGCACAUGUUUGCCACUUCUUUAUCAUUUUCUUCUUCGGAGGAUUCAUCUUCACUUUCACUCCAAGUGGCCAUCAUUGCCUUCUUCUUUCUUUUCUUGGCUUCACUUUUAUAAAAAGGACAAUUAUAUUCAAUGUGUCAUAGUUUUUUUCACUUGAAGCAUACCAAGUCUUUUUUUCUCUUCCCAUCUCUCCUUGUCACCAUGAGAUGAAGAUUCUUUUUUAGAAAAGUCUCCUCUAGAAUUGAACCUUCUUCCUCUAAACCUUUCACUCCUCAUGAAUUUGUUGAACUUUCUUUUGAUGAGGGCUAAGUCUUCAUCUUAUUCACUUUGUUUUUUUCUUCACUUUAAGAUCUAUGCUCUUCUUCCUUUUGUCUUCCCCUUCUUGUUGCUUCUUUGCCAAGUUGAUCUCAUAUGUCAUCAAUGACCAUAUGAGCUCAUCCAAAGGUAGCUUGGUCAAGUCUUUGACUUCUUGAAUUGUGGUGGCCUUUGUAUGCCACUUUGAUGGAAAUGACCUCAAGAUCUUCAUCACCUUUUCCAAUUCCUUGUAGGUCUUUCCCAAGGCUUUAAGACCAUUGACAAUGUCGGUGAACCUAGCGAUUAUCUCAACAAUAGUUUCAUUAUCUUUCAUAAAAAACAAUUCAUAACUAUGAACAACUAAAUUGAUUUUUGACUCUUUGACUUGAUUUGUUCCUUCAUGAGUUGUUUCAAGUAAUCUCCCAAAUUUCUUUAGCCAAUUUGCAUUGACAUAUUUUAUUAUAUUCAUUUCUAUCCAUAGAGCAUUGCAAAGUGUAAAUGACCUUAGCAUUUAAUUGAAAAUUUCUUCUAUCACACCUAUCCCAUUCUUGCUUGGGUUUUGGAACCAUGACUUCAUCAACUAGUUUUGAAGGAAAAGUUAGGUCAUCUUCAAUAACGUCUCAUACGUCUAAAUCUAUUGAUUGUAAAAACCAAGUCAUUUUAGUUUUCCAAUAGGGAUAUUCAAUUCUCUCAAAAAAUGGAGUUCUAUUGGUUGCAAAACUUUCAAUGUGAGAUGAGCUUGAUGGAUUAGCCAUUUCCUCUUAGACAUUUAAGUCUUAAAUAAAAGGCCUACCUCUGAUACCAAUUGAUAAAAUAAAGGGCAAAUCUAAAUAGAUAAAAACACCCAUGAGGGAGGGCGAAUUGGAGUUAAAAAAAAAUUCUUUUAAAACAUAAUAAAAUUUAGCACAAGAAGCAUAAAUAUAAAGAGAUAAGGUUAUAGAAAUCAAAUUCAGAUUUAUAGUGGUUUGAUAUUUCCUUGCCUACAUCCACUCUCCUCAAGUUCCUAAUCAAUUGAGGGUUCUACUUAUACUUGAAACUUCAACUAAGCUUCUAAUAACUUUUUACACUUGGAUUCCGGAUCCAAUAGGCUCUUACAUAAUCUCUUUAAGUCUUUACUCACUUGAAGGCUUUAACACUCAAUUAACAAAAAAUGAAUCUCUCAACCUAAUUCAACAAUGAAUCAAAUACAACUCAAGGCUAGAAUGAAUCACAAGGGUGCACUAAAGAAUAUGUAAAUGAAGAUUUAAUGCACCAAGAAAAGAAUGAGAGUUUUUAUGGCAAUAACAAGUAGGUAAACAAAUAAAUGUAGGUGUUCUUUUCUACAUAAAUGAAGUAGAGCUCUUAAUUUAUAGGUUUCUAAUCUUGGGAGCCAAAAAAACCAAAAAGCAGUCUUGAUUGGUUGAGUUGGGGAUCGACCGGUUCACUAGCCGUUGAAUCAUUUAAUGCUUGACAGGUGAUCAUUACCCUCAACCGAACCUCGACCAGACCCUGACCGGACCUCAACCUGGAAGACAAAUCCCUCGAUCAGGAAAGAAAGGCUAUUGGAAGAGCGAAAGUGUGUUUUUUUGCAUCUCUCGACUGGACCUCGAUUGGGAAAGAGUAACCGAUCGAUCAGUACCCUAGCCGAUUAAGCCGAUUGGCUAGUGCCUCGACUGAUUUAAAAUGUUAGUAAUACUUUUAUCACCCAAAUAAGAAUGAGGCAAAAGUAAUAGGAUGAUAAAGUGAUCCUCUCAUUGUAUAGUCGAGGUAAAGGGCAUUGACUCUCUAGUAGCAACAACACUUUCAAACCGAUCCUUACAAGAGAACUCACCCCCUCCUCAAAAUCUUCACUAUCAUCCUCUAUAAUGGUUAUAGUCUUCUCCUUGAAACAUUUGAAGAACACCAUCCUACACAAAAAAAAAGUAGAGAGAGAUAGAGAUGAAUAAAAUAUGGGUGUAAGUUUUUAGGCACAACUAUGCAUUCAAGUCAAGCCAAUUUGCAUGUGUGAAGACUUUAACAUAUAAGUGCCAAAAAUAUUACACCACUUCACAUCAGGGUCAUAAAUUGUUUGCACAGAUGCCAAAUAUGAUUCUAAUUAUAAUUAAAUGUUAAAACUUGAACACCACUAUGCAGUCAAGCUAAUUUGCAUGAGUGAAGGCUUUAACACAUAAGUGCCAAAAAUAUGACAUUGUUUCGCAUUAAGGCUACAACUUGAUUACAUAAGGGUCAAAUUUUAAAUAUUUAUAUUUUUUUUAUGGAUAUUUAAGUUUAUUAAAACUUUCCCCUCAAGUAUUAAGGCAAUUAAAAAAUAAAUAAAUUACCUGAAAUCAAAAUUCGUCUCCACGAAUGAUGAAAGUCAACAUGUGUUCGAGAAAUAUGAGUAUUUUCCUUCCUUAAAAAAAAAAAACGCUUACUUGUUUGAAAAAGGUAAAGACUUCUCGUGGAGAACUCAAACUGAGUUUCUUAAAAUUGGGUUUAAGAUCACUCAAAAUUUUGAAAGAAUUUUCUAAAGAAUUUAAGUCCAGCAAAUUGGAUUGAAGAACAUCCAAAGAUCAAAAGAGUUCUCUAAAAAAGUUCAAGUUGGGUUUCUCAACUAUUGUCCCCUUUAUAUAUAUAUAUAAAGUAUAUACAGGGAAGGCAAAUUGGAAGAGGAUUCAAAGUGUAAAGCAAGCAUAAAGCAAGAAGGAAAACGAAUUGGAAAAUGAUUCAAAGUGUAAAGUAAGAAGGAAAACGAAGUGAAAAUUGGAAAAAAGUGGGAAAUAAAUAUUUUAAAAAUAGGAAACUUCCUAUUAAAAUAUUUCUUUGGAAAAAAAAAAUGUUAACUUCAAGACCCACCCCAUCCACAUGACAAUACAUGUACAUGAUGCAUCUUGAAGUGGGGGCAUUUGUAGACAUAAAAAUUUUAAUAGAUUAAAUUACCACUAAUUUGGUAUUCAAAAUGGAUAAAUAAAUAAAUAAAAACAAAUAUCCUCUUAUGGAUAAGUUUCCAAAAAAAUAAAAGAGAACUAAUCUCCAACUAUAAAAAGGAUAAUAAUAAUAAUAAUAAUAAUAAUAAUAAUAAUAAUAAUAAUAAUAAUAAUAAUAAUAAUAAUAAUAAUAAGCUUAUUAUUAUUAUUAUUAUCUUGUUGGUAAAAUCUCUGGAAAAAGAAAAGUUGCUAAAAUUAAGGAACUAAGUCCCUUGAAUUAAGCAAUUAAAAUUCGAGAAUUCAAAAUUCAAAUUCCCUACUUUCACCUAUAAAUAUAGGUGACUUCUUUCAAGAAAAAAGCGAUAAAAAAUUAAGGGGAGAAAUUUAGAAAUUAGAAAAAUCCAGAAAGGAAAAUCUUAAGGAGAAAAUUCAAAGACAACUUCGUACGGGAAAAUGGGUUUUACAACAAAAGAAAAAGCUUCCUCAAAUCUCUUUGCAAGUUCAAUAAACGGUAGAACUACUACACGUGUUCUUUACCAUUUAACAAGUUCAUUCGGGAAUAAGCCACUUAUGACCCUCGAUUAAUCUUCGAAAUCAAGAAAAUGUUACCGUCGUCUUCCAAAUUGUGAUCAAGGCAAAAGAAUCAAAGGCAAAAUAUUCUUUUAUAAAGAAUAUUAUUUUUGAGAUUGUAUCCCACAAUAUUUUUAAUUUUAAUAAAUAUUUUGUUCGCAUUAUUUUUUGUUAUUGUCUUGCUUACAUCGUAGGAUUUUUACAAAAUUUGUGCAUAUACCUACAUUUGUUCUUUACUUAUUUGGAUAGUGCAUAUGCAACGUUUUUGGAAUCCAAUUAUUUGCCAACCCAUUAAAACAAAGAAUUGUGAUGUGGUAUUUUUUUAUUUUUUUUUCAUUUUGUGGUUUUCAAUUUAUAACAUUUUGAUGAAAUGACUCUCAUUAUGAAAUAGUGAGGGGUGCAUUCUCAAAGGAAACCAUUAGCUAAAUUCAAAUUUUAAACAUAUUUUUUCAAGAAUUCUCUCAAAAAAGGAAAAAACAAAUUCCAAGCUAAUAAAUAACCUGAGACCAUGUUUAAUAUAUGGGAAUGAGAAAUGGAAAUGAAAAUUUUCUUUUUAUUCAUGUUUUUCCUUGAAUAGGAAUGAAUUUGGUCAUUUCAAAUAUAGGAAUGUAAGGUAGGAAUGAUUAUUUGUUUCUAUUUCUCAAUGUUAAAUAACAAUAUUAAUGAAAAUGAAAAAAAAAUAACAAUAAUAUCCAUACAUAUAGUUUAAAUUAAUAUUUUAUUUUCAUUUUUAAAAAUACUUCCACACUAUAUAUAGUUUAACAUAAUUUUUUAUUUUCAAUUAAAAAAGAAUUCUUUAAGAGUUUAUUUUUUGUUUUGCUAAAUAAUAAAAAUAUAUUUAGGUUUAUGAUUUUUUUUUAAAAAAAAUUGUUUUUAAAAUUAAUACCAGUGUUUGGUUGUUGUUCUUGAGAAAUAAUUUUUAAAAAUAAAGUAAUAAGUUUAAUGAUUUUUAAAAAUAGUAUUAACAAUUAUUAAUUUUUAACAAAAUAAAUCAAUUAUAUUUUUAUAAGAUGCUAAUAUCCAUAUUUUUUAUUAUUUAGAAAAAUAUAUAAUGUAUGAUUAAAAUUAAUAUUCAUAUUUUAUUAAAAAUUAAUUUAAAUUUAUUUGUAAUUACAAACUUAUUUUUAUUUUAAAUAAGACUUGAAUUAAUUUAUUUUAUAUUAUGUAAAUUUAAUUUACAUUUUUUUUACAAAAUCAAAAUAAAUAAAUAAAAAUUAAAAACAACUUAUUCAAAAAAAUUUUAGUUUUUAAGUUUUGAAAAAUGUUUUAAAAUAAUUUACACUAGGGAAUCAAAAUACCCAUUCUUAAAGAUGAAUUAAAAUCUCACUUAUAAUUGGGAUUUCAUUUCUUUUGAAUCAUUAUUAUUUCAUUCUCAUUAUCACUUAAUUAAUCCAAACUUGGGAAUAAAUGAUUAAGGGAACGAGAUAUUUAGGCCUUAUUUGGUAAUUGUUUUUAAAACAGUUCUGAAAAAAUAGUUUUUAAACAUAGUUUUUUAAAAUUAUUCUAUAAUGUUUUGUAGAACAAAAGUCUGUUUGAGAACUUAAAAUUGUUUUUAACCCAUUUUUAAUAUUUUUAAAUACAUUUUAAAAAUAAUUUUGAUGUCCAUAGGUUUAUUUUUAAUCAUUAUAUAUGGUUGUAUAAUUAUUUUUUAAAACAGCUCUAAAAGAACAAUUGAAAACAAUUAAAAUAAGUUAUCUAAAAAUACUCUAUUUUCUGUUUUCUGAUAAUAAAAAGCAGAAAAUAGUUUCUAAUCGUCAAAUGUGUUUUUUUAGUUUUUUUGUUUUAAAAAACAUAAAAUUAUUCUUGAAAACAAUUGCCAAACAAAGCCUUAUUCCUACUUGCCAUUCCCCUUACUAAACAUGCAUCAAAGUUUUAUAUUUCAUAUUGCUAUAUAAACCAAUGACAUCCCAAAGCAAACAAGCAAAUAGAAAGCAUGGAAAAUGAAGUGGUGUUACAUUUCAUCAACCUAACAUCAUUUCGCUAAUAUCAGGUUGAGUUAAGGUUGGUUAGGUUAGACUCAAGUCGGUUGGGUUAAUCGAGUUGCAUAAUUCAAAUUCCAUCUGUAAUUUUUUUUAACACUUUUUUCGAUAUAUUUAUUUAAAAAUUUAAAUAGUAAAUAAAACAAAAUUUUAAGAUAAUUUAAAAAAAUUAAAAAAUAAUUUAUAUAUCUUUCUAAAAUAAUGAAACUAUAUGAUAUAACAUAAUUUAAUAUUGUUCUUAAAAAUUUAAAAGAAAAUGAAUAUUAUCGUAUAUGAUAAUGUACAUUAUAAAUAUUAUAGAAAUAUUAAAUCGGGUUUGGGUUAGGCUCAAGUUGUCCAAACCCAAAACAAAUUGAGUUAAGAUUGAAAAAACCUAAUUCAAGUGUUGAAAAUGAUUGCCCAAGCUCACUCAUACAUCAAGUUGGGUUGGGUCAACCUGCUUAAGUUCCACCCCUAAUUCUCAUAAUUGUAAUAUGAUAAAAAAAAAAAAAAUGAAGAAAACAUAGACAAAGUUUAGACUUUAUACCUUGAUUGAUCUUUGAAUUCAUGGAAGAGUUUGAUCAAGGUAUAACCCAAGGUCCAAUUUUCUCAACACUAAACAAGCCUUUCACCAAUUUCUCUUAGGCAAAAUUACACAAGAAUAUUGAUUUCCCUUUUUGUCACAGCUUGAUUUUCAUGCACAAUGAUGAAGGUGGAAAAUAACUGUAAAGACUUUGGAGAAGGAAAAACCUAUGAUAGUCAUAAUUAGAAAACUAAAGAGAAAAAAAAAAAGAAAAAAAGAAAACCCUGAUUCAUGUAAUGAAGAAUGUGUUGAUUAGGUCUCCUUAAUAAUAGAAAAUUCCUAUGCAAAAUUUAUAUGCACAAAAUUACUCUAAUGUUUUCCUAAAUAAAGCAGGAUUUUUAAAAGCAAAUCUAAUUGAAUCAUAUAACUUUUAAAAACAAACAAGAUUUUUAGAAGAAACAUAAUUUCGACCUCUUCUUGAUUACACUUGCUCACUAAGUUUUUUAUCUCUAUUUUCAUAUACUUGUAAUAAAUUAAUAUAAAUUAAUUUGUGCAUGUAUAAUAGGUAAAACAUGGUGGACAAUAUUUUUUAUAGAAUUUUUGUAUAAGUUUCAUUUCAACCCAAACAAGCACUAGUUUUUGAUAAGAUAGCAUUAAAAACUCAAAGAGGCCAAUUGUUGGAUUGUGAUUGGUAUGUCCUAGACAGAAAAAAAAAUCAAGUAUAAAAAGGCUCUAAUGCAUGAUUAUGCAUAACCAAACUAUACAAUUGGUAUGUUUAAUGCACUUGCACAUGCCUUUAUUGUUAGGAUUGAGCCCUUAAAAGCAAGAUAUGAUGUAAUAAAACUAGAUUUAACUAUUCCCUUAUUAUCCUUUUGGUGUACUGAUAUUAAUUUGAGCAUUCAACCUAUGUCUCUUACAUUAUAUAUGAUGUUAGCCCAAGGGUUCUCCUAAUCAUAUUUUCAUGAUAACAAACCAUGGUUAAGUUACUAAUUAGUUUGAAUUAUAAAGAAUUUCAAGUGUUAAUUUAGAAAUUCGUCAAAGAACCUAAUAGAUGCAAGAUCAAGACUUUUGAAAGAACUUUUAAUCAUAAGAAACAUUGUAAGAUGAAUGCAUGGGUACACUUAGGAUUUACAUAUCAUUUCAUGUGUCUUUGAAAAACUCGGUUUAUGCUUUAAAGUUACAUUUCCAUCAAAAUCUGAGUUCUAUCAAAUGAACCUUAGGCAAAACAUUUCAAAAUUGACAUAUUAUUUUACCUAAAGACCUUGCCUAAGUUCUAGAAGCAAAAAGACUAGAAAAAGAUAGUGAUGUUUUGAUUGAAUCUCAAGGUUGAGAGACCAUAAUGGGAAAUACAAUAUAUGAUGAAUUGACACUUUUAGUAGUUGCAAGUUUAAUUGUUGAACAACAAUCUUCAUGCCCUACUGUUGUGGCUUUUUCUACUCUUACUCACACAUUUGACAUGAAACAAAUCAUCCUUAAUGCCCAACGCUAAGUAGCACUUAUGAUAGGAGAAUGCAUUAAGGAAAUGAUUAUCAAAUCUUCCAAUGAGUCUCUCAUUAUUGACAUAAAAAUUGAUGAGUAUUUCAAUGCUAUCAUGAAAACUAGAGUGGACCCUUCACCAUUAAAGUCUCAAAUUGAGAAGUAGUAAGUGUAGAUCACCUCGAUACAGUGCGACAUGCCCAUUCUAUCUAAUAUCUCCAAAAGUACAAAGCGAACGUUUAACUAUUGUUGCAUCUCAAAUUGUGGAUGCUCUAAAUUCUGAAGGUGUAGAGGCAAAUCGUGGUCAAUCUUUAAAGGUUGACUUAGUUACUCUCGACACUAAACAUGAAGCACUUAAAAAGGAAUUGAAGCAACUAGGUAUAGAAAAAGAGCACUUUCAUAACUCAAUCAUGGAGAUCGAUGAUAAUCUAGCUAAUAAACAAAAUAAUAUUUCUCGUUUGAGGAAAUAACAUGUCACUAUCACCCAAACCUUGUGCUUACUAAUGUCGAUGUCAAGACUUUAGAGACACUUCAAGAAGCCUAAAUGACUCAAUUUGACAAGCUUGCGUACUUGGUGUGAAUAUGACUGUUGUGCCUUUUUGCUUAGUUUUAGCUUUCUUUUUUUUCCUUCAUUUUUUUUAUUGAGAUAUAAUAAGGUCUAGCAUUUGUUAGCCAGAUUUAUUAAUAAAAAUGAGACCAUUUUUUUUAGUUAUGUUUAAACUCAGGUUGUUUUCCUAAGUUACCUACGUAUCCUUCAAAGAGAGAUGAUAAAGUCAAACAUAGUUCAAUUUUUUAUUUUAUUUUUAUGCUCUAACUUUUACCAAGACUAAAAGAAAGAUUUAAUCUUAUGCAUUAACUUUUGCCAAGACUAAAAGAAAGAUUUAAUCCUUCGAACAUAUGUCCUAACUUUUGUCUAAGUUGUAUAUUCAGGUUUUCAACUUAACGGACUUUUUUUUUUGGUGUGUUAUAUGUAGUUUAAGCUCAUGAGGGCUAGGAGUGUCACUUUUCUUGAGUUUGGUCAAAGGGUGAUAAAUUCAUGUCCUUGGAACAAAUUUUAAUCGAGAGUCAAAGAUGACUUAUUCUUAACCAAAACUUGUGAAGACCUUCAAUCAAACUUGUGAAGACUUUUCUCAAUCAUUUUGGAGAACAAAAGAAGUCAUUUGAAUUCAUCUUGAUUUUCUUUAGCCUUUAAAGUGGAUGAAUGACAUUUUUGCAUUGUGUUUGAUAUUCUUCCACGAGCUUGUUGAAGAAUGUGCCAAGCUUGGACUUGAUUUUAAUCCAAGGGUGGUAAACACAUGUUUUGGAGCAAAAUUUAAUUGAGGGUCAAUGAUGACUUGAUCUCAAGUAAACUUAUCAAUAAUUUAUUCAAGUGUCUUGAAAAACCCAACCUUGUUUUUUUUAGCUUUCAAGGUGGAUGAAUGACACUCUUGUUUGUGUUUGAUAUUCUUCCAUGAAUUUGUUGAAGAAUGUUUGGAGUUUGAUCUUGACUUUUUGAAGCUUCAUUUUUGGAUUUAGCUUCGGGUUGCAUUUCCUUUUUUAGAAUGCCUCAUGUUGAAAGAAAAAAACACUUGUAUUUAGAGAAGUUGGAGAUUUUAGUUUAGAAUCUCUAAAUUUGACUUCUUUAAUACAAAGAGUUUGUUCCUCAGUUUAAGAAGUUUUCCAAGAAAGAUUUUUUUUUUGGGCAUAAGUUUGACUUUAUUUAUUUAUUUUGUUACUGCAAUUUAAGUUCUUAUAGGAUAGGAGCAAUAUGUAGUUUAUGCUCAUGCUUUAAGGAACAUCAUUGGAAUGUCGAGGUUUCAAAACAAUUGUGGUAAAAUUUGAUGUCAUGUUCUUUUCAUUGUCACUGAUGAAGGUGAUGGUUGCACAACAUGUUGUACAAUUAUGGCAUUUGUCCGCAAAUUGUUUUACCCUCUUUAUUUUUGUGGCAUAGAGUGAUAGAUUCUUAAGUGUCUGGAUCAAUGCAAUUUGUGUUUCCUCAAGAAGUUUUAUCAUUUCAAGGAUACUAAAGAGCGAGGGUAAGCACUAUAGGUUUGUUAUUACCUCCCUCAUCUUCUUCCUUGGUUUUGCUCAACUCUGCACCAAGAACAUCUUUUUCAUCUUCACUUGGCCCAUCUUCUUUCGAAGUAUCAUGACAAGAGACUAUAUGAGUUGAUGUCAUCAUCCCUCUAUCAAAGAACUCUAGAGAAAAGUAUUCUUCUAAGGUGAUAGGAGUGAUGAGUUUUUGUACCAAGAGGUCAUCAACCUGUACAAUCUCUUGUUUUCUUUUGGGUUUCUUUUCUUCUUUCUUUUUCAGAUAUAGACGAAUAUUUUGCUUAUGUUGUUCAUUCCUAGGAAGAUUUAGGCAUGAAUGAGAUUCUUGCUUCUUGUGUGGUCUUCUUCAUGUCACCAAUGUCCAACAUUCUUUGUUAUAUGACAUUGAUUCAUUAUCAAAGCAGAAGUGAAUAAUGGUGUCUUCGUGUGACAUUUGUGUUUGCUUUGACUUAGGUAAUUCACAUUGGAUAGUACUGGUGCAUGCCCCCAGUGUCUUAGGUGGAACGUGUAAUGGAAUAAGAUCAAAAGACCCAAAUAUGAUUGUAGCAUGAUUUAACACUACUACUUCAUCUAGAUCUAGAUGAAUUCUUCCUUGCUUUACAAAUUACAUUAUAAGAUCUUUUAAGAUGAAACAUUUCUCCAUAGGGUGAUUGAUGAUUCGAUGGUAAUAACAAUAGUUCGGAUUAUUAACACGACCCAUUUCUUUUGGAUGCUUACACUCAAGUAGCUCAAUAACCUUUUCUGGAGUAGAUCUUCCAACAUGUUAGGCACAUCAGAGUUAAGAAAAUGAUACUUCUUCUCCUCCAAUUCCUUCAAGGUGAACCGACGCCUAUCAUUUUCUUGGGUUACUCUGACCUCUUUUACUUCCUUCUUUUUAUCUCUUGCUGAGAUUUUGAUAGGAGACAUAUUUACCAUCAUUGACUUCUGGAUGAGUUUUAUUAAGGUUUUAUCACUUGUUUUCCCAUCGUGUCUCUCUUUUUGUUGGUCAACGAUAAGGUCCUUCUUAGUACCAUGGUUGGCUAUGCUGAGCUCCAUGUCAUAUGCUUGAGUAGCUAACUCUUCAAAGGUGCAAGGUCGUAUCCUUUGAAGGAUGUACAAAAGACCCUAAUGCAUUCUUUGUAUGCAUAUCUCCACAGUUGACACCUUAGAUAAUCUAUCUUUGCAGUCCAGACUUAAGGAAUGUCAUCAAUUGAUGUAGUCUACGACUGACUCAUCUUUCCAUUACUUAGUAUUAGUAAGUUCCAUCAUGCUUACAAUUCUCUAGGUGCUAUAUAAACGGUUGAGGAAUUCAUGUCCCAUUUGGUCCCAACUAUCGAUACACUCGGGUGCAAGGUUUAUGUACCAAACGAAAGCAUUCAUUCGAAGAGAACGAACGAAUUGUUUGAUUAACAAGCCACCAUUUGUACCUGCAUGGUUACAAGUUUCAACGAAAUGGACAACAUGUUGUUUUGGAUUUCUCUUUCCUUCAAAUGAUUGAAACUUUGGAGAUUGAUAACCCACAGGCAUACAUAGACUAUAAACCCUCUUAGUGUAAGUUUUAGAGUACAUGAGCGUACUAUGUGAGGAUCCAUUGUAUUAUGCUCUAAUGGUGUUAGUUAUCAUGUCCUGAAGUUGUUGGACAAAUAAUGACGCCAUCGAGGUAGAUUCCAUUGUUUGUCUCCCGACUCGCACUGUCCUAGAUGCAUGUGGUGCAUCAUCAAGAGGAGAUGCAACAUUCAAAAGGUGGUUGAGUCCUUAACUUGACUCACCCAUAUUUUGUAUUUAUGUCUCAACCUUGUUUAUGAGGGAGACUAUUUGCGUAUCCUUCUUCUCGAUCGUCUUGGUGAGUUUGGUGAUGGCAUGAGCCAUCUUACUGAUUGUUCCUCUACGGAUGUAGCGUCAGUCGCCAUUACCGGUAUAAUCAUCAAGAAGGGAGAAGUAAAAGAGUCGGAAUGAUUGGAGUAAUUUUCCUCAUUUGACAUUCCAGUUGGCAAUCUGGAAUGUGAACCGGUGCUGGAGUUGGUAUCGGUAAUAGAGCAAGGAGAAUUAUCCUCAAAGUCCUUUAGUGCUAAAGAGAGUUUUCCCUUGCUAUGAGGACUAUGAUUUUUUGCCCUCAGAGAAGCCAAAAUGAUGGAUGGUUGGUGCUUAUCACGUGUCCUUACCAGUUUUAACAAACAAGUAGACUCACUUGUUUGUUUUGUUGAAGGUAAAGAUGUUGAUUUCACUUUACUACGAGUCAUGGGGCUCAUAGCGGUGUUGUGUGAUGAUUACGUAAUGAAGAUCGUGUCAUUGCCCUGGUUGACAUACACAACUUGAAUUUUUUUGGAUGCCAUCGAUGUAGUAGUGAUUAAUUUUCUAAUGAAAGAGAUGGGACGUAGAGAAGUUCCGCAGAGGAUGCCAGAAAUUUGUAUGCACAAAUUUUGUAAAAAGUCUUGCGAUGUAAGCAAAAUAAUAACAAAAAUAAUGUGAACAAAAUAUUUAUUGAAAUUAAAAAUAUUGGGGUACAAUUUCAAAAAUAAUAUUCGUUACAAAAGAAUAUUUUCCCUCUGAUUCUUUCGUUUCGACCACAACUUGAAGAACGAUGACGAACUUGUUUUCUUGAAUUUGAAGAUCAAUCAAGGGACUAAAUGACUUUUUCCCAAAUGAACUUAUUGAAUGACGAAGAACAUAUGUGUAGUCCCUUUACUGUUUACCAAACUUGUAGGGAGAUUUGAUGAAACUUUUUCUUUUGUUGUGAAACCUCUUUUACCGUACAAAGUUGCUUUCGAAUUUUCUCCUUAGGAUUUUUCUGAUUUCUGAAUUUCUCUUCCCAAUUUUUUAUACCAUUUUCUUGAAAGAUGACCUCUAUUUAUAGGUGAAGGUAAGAAUUUUGAAAUUUGAAUUUAUGAAUUUUAAUUGCUUAAUUCAAAAAAUUUAGUUCUUUGAUUUUAACAACUUUUUUUUUGUCAAGAAGUUUUACCAACAAAAUAAUAAUAAUAAUAAUAAUAAUAAGAAACUUAUUAUUAUUAUUAUUAUCUUUUUAUAGUUAGAGAUUAAUUUUCUUUUUUUCAAGAAACUUAUUCAUAAGAAGAUAUAUAUUUUUAUUUAUUUAUUUAUCCAUUUAUUCAUCUAGACCAAAUGUACUAAAAUUUUUAUGUUUAGAGUAGGUUUUAGGAUUGGAUUGCCUAUAUUACUCGAAUGUUGGAGCUUCGAGUGAGUUUAGGAUAGGUAGUGCUUGCGAUUGUGGUAUUGUCCAUUCAAAACAAGUUUUUAAGAAUUAUUUUAAAAAGGAUAUUUUUAUAAUAUAUUUUAAUUAUUUUUUAUUAAGAUAUAAAAAUAUAAAAAAUAAUUAAAAAUAAAAUAUUAUGUGUAAUGUUAUUUAUUUUCAAAAAUAUUUAAAAACACAAAAAUAAAGUUAAAAACAUUCCAAAUCAUUUGCAUGUUUCCUGUAUUGGUUUUUAAAGUUAAAAACCAAAAACUUUGAUAUAAAAAGUAUAAAUUUAAAUAUAUAUUAUGCCUUUAAAAAUUUUAAAAUUUUAUAUAUCAAUUUUAAAUUAAAAAUUAAAAAUUAUUAUAUUUUUAAUUUAAACCUUUUAAAAAUAUUAUUAUAUAAAACUUAUUAUAAUUUAUAUUUAAAAAAAUAAAAAAUAAUAAGAGGAAAAUAAGGAAAAUAAUAGAAACGUAAGCGGAAUGGUUUGAUUUUAGCGUUAUUUUUAACUAAAUAAUAAUUAAAUUUCUUUGGGCAGACUACUAUUGCGGAGACGGCGUGGGCAGCGAGAAAAGACAAAAGGGAGCUGUGGGAGGGACUUGAGACGACUCGUCUUCACUGUGAUGUUUGGUGGCGAAUCGCCGAUAUUCACCUCAAACCCUCAAAACUUUUCAACGUCUGCGCUCGUCUAGAGCUUAGGGUUUCAGACGCUCGAUUCAUUUCCGAACCACCAAAACCUCCACCCAGAUAAAACAGCUGAAUGGACGGAGGUCCGGCAGGCGGGGGCGGCGUCGGCGGCGGAGCCACCGGUCCCGCGCCUUUCCUUCUCAAGACCUAUGAAAUGGUGGACGACUCAUCGACCGAUGAAAUCGUGUCCUGGAGCUCCACCAAGAGCAGUUUCGUUGUCUGGAAUCCGCCUGAAUUCGCUCGCGUUCUUCUCCCCAUGUAUUUCAAGCACAAUAACUUUUCCAGCUUCAUCAGACAGCUCAAUACAUAUGUAAGCUUUUCUGAGUCAAUUUGGUGCCAUUCAAUCCUGCUUGGUUGCUGAGAAAUGAAAAUGAAAUUGGAGCUCUUAUUCAAUUUAUGUUGGGUAGUAUUUUCUUAGUUUUGUCACACAACCAAACUGUGGUAAUGCUUUUUAUAAUAUGUCUUGGCUUCAGGUGAGAAAAUAUAUUGGUUUGGAUGAUAUAUCGGUCUCUUUUUUAUUUUAUUUAUUUUUUUUAUGUGUACGUGUGUAUUAUGAUUGAUGCUAAUCCUGAAUAAGUCAUUUAGAUGGCAACGGAGUUAUUGAAAGUGGUUGAUUACGACUUGCCUUUGAACAACUAGACAACAAGUGUUGCCAUUACAAGAUCCGCGAGUCCCACUGCAUUGGGAAUUUUAUGGAAGGGGCCAAACUUGGAUCAGCGUUUGUAUUUUUGGUUUUUUAAAGAUCCCAUAUGUGUUUAUAUGUUGUUUGAUUGCUUGAAUUUUGUCAAAUACUAGGGCAGUAUUUAACUUUUUAUAUUUUUAAUGGGUAUCAAAUCAGCACUCUUUUGCCAAUUAUAUUACUAAAUGGAUUUCUUUGAACGAAUUCUGUGCCUUUCAUCCAGUGAUCCUUUCCCAUUUCUCUAUGGGUCCCUUCAUUUUGGUUUUCAAUUAUCAAAAGUUAGUAAAGAUGAAAACGUAGAACUCUUUAAUUGCCUCCUCAUCCAAUGUAUGUAUAUAGUUCUUGAUAGAAUCAUUUAACAUCCAUUUAUAUAUCUUGUCUUUUCAUGGGAAGUUAGUGAAUGUAAGUAAAACUACCGAAAUUUUCUUUAGUUAUUCUUGAUAUGUUUCACAAAUUCAUGAAUUCAAGGUUAUUUGUAAGCUUAGCUCUUUAAUUCUAGGAGUGACUUACUCUGAUUAAUGUGAGAGUAGAAAUCUUUUUACCUUUGGGAGAAACUAUUGUGAUUUGCGACUGUCUUGGAGCAAGGGAAUUCUCCUAGCAGGGAUGAUAUUCAUUUUCAAGGAUAUAGUCUGUGCAAUGUCCUUUAGAGUUUACUUUUCUUUUGGAUCUACUGUCUAUAGUCUCUCUUCCAUUCUGUUGCAGGAACCUUUUAUAAAACUUAUUUUGUUUUAACCUUCUAAGGUUCCUAAAUUGUGAAGUAGGAUUCAUUGAAGAGAGAAAAUGGAUAACUGGAUAUCACUAGCAAGUGAGAGGUGUCUCUUUUCUACUUGAUAGUUGAAAGCAAAGCCUUAAAAAAUUCACUUUAUCAAGUGAAGGGAAUAAUUUUUGCAUUUCAAGGAUGUUAAGAGUGUUGUAGACUCCUCAUGGAAGUUAUUUCCUCCAACACAUUAAAUGGAACUAAACUUUAAGGCACAAGCUUGUUAUGCUGUGCCAUUAACAUAAAAUCAUCAGCCACAACAAAUAUUUGACUUUCAUUAAUCAUUGUGCAAAAAUCCCUUUUGGUGCUAUCUCUAGGGACGGCUGAUUAAUACAUGGUUUUGACCUGAAUUGUCUUGUUGUUUAUCAUACAGCUGGUUUUCUGCUGCAUUCUAACCUUUAACUUCAAUUUAUCAAUGGCUGCUUAUGAUCCCACGUUUAUGGUGUUCGAUUUAUCCAUGAUAAAUUUUCAGUUCUGUUACAUGACCUUUGGUAUCAAAUUGAGAACCUGAUAGUAAAUCUGUUUACAGACAAUAAUCUCCAAUAGCUCUUCCAAUUUAUACAAUUGAAGUGGGUGAGGAGUUGUGGCUAACAACUGAAUUAGGAGGUUUCAAGAUAGAUCGGUUGCGACCUCUCAAAUAGGUAUUGGGCUAUACAUACAAUAGACUAGUUAAAGGAGUUCAAUAAAUUCUUUAAAAAAAGAAGAUAAAAUUAGAUGGAACAUUUACAACAUGACAUUAUUUAAAUGACCAUGAAAGCACGCCUUUAGAUUGGUGUAUGUUACUACUAAGAAUUAACAACUCAACUAUUUCAUGUACAAUAAUUUUGUACUAAGAAAUACAUAACUAUAUGAUCAACUGCAACUCCAACCCCUGGGACUUCUACUGAGGCUGGUUGUCAAGCUGCCAUAGAGCAACAAGGAAAUAGUCCAGGAAUGGCUACUGUUAAGGAAGUUCAUGGCUUGCAUGUUUCAAAGUCAUGGAAUAGGCCACUGACUUGGGAGGUUUCAAGAUAGAUUGAUUGCGACCUCUCAAAUAGGUAUUGGGUGAUACGUACAAUAGACUAGUUAAAGAAGUUCAAUGAAUUCUUGGUGAUACAUACAACCAACUAGUUAAAGAAGUUCAAUAAAUUCUAAAAAGAAAACAAAACUUUCUAAAGAAAAAAAGAUAAAAUUAGAUGGAUCAUUUGCCACAUGACAUUUACUUAAAUGACCAUAAAAGCAGACCUUUAGAUUGGUCUAUGUUAAUUAUGAGAAUUAAAAACUUGAUUGUUUCAUGUACAAUCAUUUUUGUACUAAGAAAGACAUUAUCAUAUUGGCAAAUCCACUUUAAAUGAUGUGGAUGUUCACCAAUCAUUGAUCCCGAAAAUUUCUACAAAGUCAUUAUUGUCAAUGCUUUAAUGAGUAUGGAUAUCAAGAUGGUACUUUCCAUAGCAAGGUUGUAGUUGAAAUAAUUUUUUUGAUAGACAAAGAUAAUUUGAAUUAAGAAACACCAAAAAUAGGGGGGUAUACAUUAGGAGCCUAACCAGGUACCAGAAAAGAAAGAAAAGACCUAAAGAAAGAGAAAGAGAAAGAGAAAGAGAAGGCUAGCCACAAUAAAGAGCACCCAAAAAAUUUAGAAAAAAGGGAUUAUCCAACUCCAAAAACUGCUAAGACCACUUUAUUAGUGAUCGGAUAAAGAGAUUCCUCAAACUUUAGUCUGACAACUCUUCCUGUUGGAAGGUCCUUUGGUUUUCCUCUCCCUAGAUACACCAAAAAAGAUAAAUCAUAGCCAAUCUCCAAACUGCUCUUCUUUUCUUCCUUAGCCCCUUGACUUUUCAUUCGAGAAGAAGAUUUCUCAUGGAAGUCAGGAACGCCCACACCAAAAUGAAAGUUAUUAACAAUAAAGUCCAAAGUUCCCUUGUCUUAUCACAAUGAAUUAAAAUGUGGUCAGUUGAUUCUUCACUAUCUUUACAAAGGCUACACCUAUUGACCAUGGACCAACCCCUUUUCAUUAACAUGUCUAUUGUUAAGAUUUUCCCUCAAACUGCUUCCCAAGGAGAAAGACGAGUUUUAAGAGGGGCACAUGAUCCCCAAAUCUCUUUAGCUAGGAAUAAUAAAUUGUUGUCAGCCCUUACGGAGUUAUAAAAUGAUUUGACACUCCCUCCCAUCAUUCUUCAUACUAAGGAAUCCUCCCCUUCUUGCACUUUUAAUGCAAAAAUGUGUUCCAAGAAAUGAGUCACCUCCUCUAACCCCCAAUCUUGGAAAGAUCUUCUAAAAUGCACCUCCCAACAACCAUCUCCAUCCCCUUACUUCCCCCAAAGGUCUACCACUGUAGCAUAUUUGUGGGAUGCAAGCUUGAAAAGAUUAUGAAAAACAUCCUUCAACUUAGACUCCCUAACUCAACUGUCACACCAAAAACUUGUGCAUCUACCAUUUCCAAUACGGAUACUAGUUCUAAGAAUGAACUCUUCCCACCCUUUUCUAAUGUCUUUCCAAAGACUCAGCCCAUAAGAAUCUCUCACCUCUCUAGUAGUCCAACCCCCCUCCACCUCCCCAAAUUUUCCAAGAAUGACUUUCCUCCAUAAACUCUCCCUCUCAAGGGGAAACCUCCAUAGCCAUUUGCCUAACAAAGCUUGAUUGAGACCCUCCAAGUGCCUUAACCCCAACCCUCAAUGCUUCUUAUCUUCACAAAUAUGCAACCAACUAUAGGCCAGCAGAACUUGUAGAAUGCCAGUGAAAAACCAUCCAGCCCUGGUAACUUGUCACUCCCCAAAUCUGACAUUGCUUUGGUUACCUCCUCUUAAAGCAGCCCCUCCAAACCCUCAUUAUCCGAGGAGUCAAGAAUUGUCCAAAGUUGGACCCUAUUGGUUUAGAUGUUUGGUUUAAUAAUCCAUAAUCAGGAAAAUGUGACACAGUAGGGAUUGUACAAGAGCUCAGAAUUAUGGUGCAGCUCAGCCAUGAAUCUAUUAUACUGACCAUAAUUCAGUUAUAUCAGCUGAUUGGUUAUGACCGUAACUCGAUCAUAUUGGCUGAUUCAUUAUUGUAAUUCUUUAAGGUUCAAAGUAUCUGUCAACUUGUAUCCAGAAUGAUUGAGUUGUAUCCAGAACAACCAUGCUGAGAAGAUUUCAAGACCCAUUACAAGACUUAUCAAUUACAAUAACGAAUCAGUUGAUACAACCAAGUUAUGUUCAGUACAAUAGGUACUUUGAAAUCUAUUAUAGCAGGGCCUUGAA